This 45287-nucleotide long non-coding RNA is filed under the name Citrus x clementina. RNAcentral describes it as "Citrus clementina (C. clementina) long non-coding RNA (CCLE_LNC002635)". The record is from RNAcentral. Lineage: Eukaryota; Viridiplantae; Streptophyta; Magnoliopsida; Sapindales; Rutaceae.
UCCUUUGGACAAAGGCUUUCCACACAAUCCUAAGUUGCCGUCGAAAGAAGUGUUGUCAAAUGUAGCAAAUUGCUUUCCUUGUGGUAUAGGCCCUGUAAGGUAAUUGUCCGAGACAUUGAAGAAUGCGAGAAAUGUGAGGUCAACCAGUUGUUGAGGAAUCCGUCCUGAAAACUUGUUAUUUGAGAGAUCCAAUGAUUCCAAAUUUGUUAGAUUGCCCAAACAUGACGGAAUAUGGCCUUGGAGAUUAUUGUACUGGAGGUUUAGAACUUGAAGUCCCUUUAAAUUCGCAAUCGAUGCUGGAAUCGCCCCAUCAAAUCUAUUGUUUGAGAGAAUAAUGCCCGCGAGGAUAUCCGGAAUCUUGUUAUAUGUCAUCAUUCGCCCUUUGCUAUUCAUUGUCAUUGAGUAGUCAUAAGUGCUAAGUACAUUAUUGGUCACUUGUCCAUACGAAGAAAGCACAUCUUGCAGAUAUCUUAGCUCACUUGUAUUGACAAUUUUCAUGGCAUUCCAACACAGGAAACUCUUUGAUGGAAGCUUUCCAGUAAAUCUGUUGUCAGAUAGGUCAAUAAUGCGGAGUUUCGAAAAUCCACAACCAGUUCUGGGUUCUUCUAUAAUGCCAUAAAAUGUGUUGGAUCGUAGGAUGAGAACAUUCAAUUUUGGAAGAGUUCCUAACCAAGACGGAAAAGUGUCACUAAUCUGGUUGUUCCCAAGACCAAGAAAUUCCAACUUUGAACAGUUGAUCAAUGAUCUUGGAAUUCUUCCUUGAAACAGAUUAUGGCUUAAAUCAAUCACGCCUAAUCUACUUUCUUUAAUGAAAGUAUUUGGGAUGGUCCCAAAGAAGUUGUUAGCCUCCAAGUCGAGCACUGAAAGUUCAUCGCUGAAAUUGCCUAAACACUGAGGAAGCAAGCCACUUAAGUUAUUGUGAGACAAAACAAGGCUUUCAAGAAUAUUCAAAUUGCAUAUCCACGAUGGAAUUUCCCCUGUUAACCUAUUGUUUGAAGCUAGAUAGUUAACGGUUCCGGGGGGUGGAACUGGGAGUGGUCCUUGUAAAUUAUUAGAGCUAAGAUCAAAAGUCACCGCAUCACUUUUAUNNNNNNNNNNNNNNNNNNNNNNNNNNNNNNNNNNNNNNNNNNNNNNNNNNNNNNNNNNNNNNNNNNNNNNNNNNNNNNNNNNNNNNNNNNNNNNNNNNNNNNNNNNNNNNNNNNNNNNNNNNNNNNNNNNNNNNNNNNNNNNNNNNNNNNNNNNNNNNNNNNNNNNNNNNNNNNNNNNNNNNNNNNNNNNNNNNNNNNNNNNNNNNNNNNNNNNNNNNNNNNNNNNNNNNNNNNNNNNNNNNNNNNNNNNNNNNNNNNNNNNNNNNNNNNNNNNNNNNNNNNNNNNNNNNNNNNNNNNNNNNNNNNNNNNNNNNNNNNNNNNNNNNNNNNNNNNNNNNNNNNNNNNNNNNNNNNNNNNNNNNNNNNNNNNNNNNNNNNNNNNNNNNNNNNNNNNNNNNNNNNNNNNNNNNNNNNNNNNNNNNNNNNNNNNNNNNNNNNNNNNNNNNNNNNNNNNNNNNNNNNNNNNNNNNNNNNNNNNNNNNNNNNNNNNNNNNNNNNNNNNNNNNNNNNNNNNNNNNNNNNNNNNNNNNNNNNNNNNNNNNNNNNNNNNNNNNNNNNNNNNNNNNNNNNNNNNNNNNNNNNNNNNNNNNNNNNNNNNNNNNNNNNNNNNNNNNNNNNNNNNNNNNNNNNNNNNNNNNNNNNNNNNNNNNNNNNNNNNNNNNNNNNNNNNNNNNNNNNNNNNNNNNNNNNNNNNNNNNNNNNNNNNNNNNNNNNNNNNNNNNNNNNNNNNNNNNNNNNNNNNNNNNNNNNNNNNNNNNNNNNNNNNNNNNNNNNNNNNNNNNNNNNNNNNNNNNNNNNNNNNNNNNNNNNNNNNNNNNNNNNNNNNNNNNNNNNNNNNNNNNNNNNNNNNNNNNNNNNNNNNNNNNNNNNNNNNNNNNNNNNNNNNNNNNNNNNNNNNNNNNNNNNNNNNNNNNNNNNNNNNNNNNNNNNNNNNNNNNNNNNNNNNNNNNNNNNNNNNNNNNNNNNNNNNNNNNNNNNNNNNNNNNNNNNNNNNNNNNNNNNNNNNNNNNNNNNNNNNNNNNNNNNNNNNNNNNNNNNNNNNNNNNNNNNNNNNNNNNNNNNNNNNNNNNNNNNNNNNNNNNNNNNNNNNNNNNNNNNNNNNNNNNNNNNNNNNNNNNNNNNNNNNNNNNNNNNNNNNNNNNNNNNNNNNNNNNNNNNNNNNNNNNNNNNNNNNNNNNNNNNNNNNNNNNNNNNNNNNNNNNNNNNNNNNNNNNNNNNNNNNNNNNNNNNNNNNNNNNNNNNNNNNNNNNNNNNNNNNNNNNNNNNNNNNNNNNNNNNNNNNNNNNNNNNNNNNNNNNNNNNNNNNNNNNNNNNNNNNNNNNNNNNNNNNNNNNNNNNNNNNNNNNNNNNNNNNNNNNNNNNNNNNNNNNNNNNNNNNNNNNNNNNNNNNNNNNNNNNNNNNNNNNNNNNNNNNNNNNNNNNNNNNNNNNNNNNNNNNNNNNNNNNNNNNNNNNNNNNNNNNNNNNNNNNNNNNNNNNNNNNNNNNNNNNNNNNNNNNNNNNNNNNNNNNNNNNNNNNNNNNNNNNNNNNNNNNNNNNNNNNNNNNNNNNNNNNNNNNNNNNNNNNNNNNNNNNNNNNNNNNNNNNNNNNNNNNNNNNNNNNNNNNNNNNNNNNNNNNNNNNNNNNNNNNNNNNNNNNNNNNNNNNNNNNNNNNNNNNNNNNNNNNNNNNNNNNNNNNNNNNNNNNNNNNNNNNNNNNNNNNNNNNNNNNNNNUGACACCUAUUUAUGAGAGACAUAAAAAUUCCAAAUUUUUCCAGCUAGUAAGUAAAUCAUCUAACUCUAUCGUUCCGCUAUAAGAAUUUCGAGCCAUGUCAAGGACCAUAAGUUGGGUAAGAUUCCUAAGUGAAGAUGUAAUUUGACCUGAAAAAUUACACUUAGUGAUAUGUAUUACUUCCAAUGACCUAAGAUUUCCAAUGGAACCAAGUAAGUCACCCGAAAAACUAUUCAAUCCAAGAUACAAAAAUUGUAGCCGGGUGAAAUUACCAAUCGAAUGUGAAACUUUGCCCCAAAAACUACAUGACCUCAGAUCUAAUAACUUCAAAGAACUAAAAUUCCCCGUCGACCAUGGAAACUCACCCGAAAAUUUAUUGAAUGAAAGGUCAAGUUUUUCCAAAGAAAAAAGAUUUCGAAUGGAAGUAGGAAUCUCACCAAAAUAUCCAUUUUGUGAAAGGUCAAGUUCUUUCAAAGAACCAAGAUUUCCCAUGGAAAUAGGCAAUUCACCAAAAAAUCUAUUUUGUGAAAGGUCAAGUUCUUUCAAAGAACUAAGAUUUCCAAUGGAAAUAGGCCACUCACUCGACAAAAAAUUUGCAGAGAGAUCAAGUUCUUCCAAUGAACAAAGAUUACCAACGGAAACAGGCAGCUCACCCUGUAAUUCAUUUAGUGAAAGGUCUAAAUGAAGGAGCUUGGAUAGAUUACCGAGUGAGGAUGGAAUUCUUCCUGAAAUUUGUUAAAAAAGAAAAAAGAACACAUUGCUUAAGUAGAAAAUUAAAAAUAAUAAUAGUUUUUACUAAUGAAUUUAACAUUGCAUGUAUAUUAAUUAAGGAGAAAAUAUAUAAAAUUGAAUUACCUUGCAAUUCACAGUUUUGAAGAGAAACAAACAUCGAAGAAGAUAGAUUUGUGAUGUUAUGAGGUAUCGUUGACUGAAUAGAAACAUCACCAAGGUCAAGUGUUUUUAGAUUGCUUAACUUCUCCACUAAAUUUACGAGACUGGGCUUCUGGAGUUCAAGUCUACCACCAGGAACAUCAUUUAGUGAUAAAUCAAGGGACACCAAGUUGGAGAGCUUUAGAAUUUCUGAUGGUAUUUGGCCAGAUAAAGAAGUUCCAGAGAGGUUCAAGUAUGAUAACCUGGAAAGGUUGAUGAUUUCUGGUGGGAUUUCGGAGGAAUUGAAGUCAUUCAAAGCAAGAUUAAGCCACUCGAGAUGGACAAGCUUGAAAAGGCUGCUGCUAGAGUUGAUAGAACCAAAAAGACAGCUAUGGGAGAGGUCAAGCUUGAUGACAUGACCAGUGUUCUUAUUGCAAUGAACGCCGUCCCAAGAGCAGCAAUCAACGUUACCUUCUUCUGGCUUCCAUGAUGCCAUUGUAGGACGACAGUCAAAUUUCCAAGCAUAAAAAUCACCACUGAUGCGGCUUUCUUUGAAUUGCAACAAAGCAGAGCGCUCAUCAUCAUGGCAGAGUGGCAGCAUAGAAGAAGUAGUGACGUUAGCAAUUGUUAAAUUAAAGAAAAUGAAGGGAAAAACUAACCGUAUGAAUAUUGUGAAUAAACAUAUAAAGGAUAAAGCCAUAGUUUUCUCAAAAAUAAAAUUUGUUUAACUUUGUAGAUGUGAAGAAAUUUAAGGAUCUUGGUUUGCUUUUAUAGGCAAAUUGCAGCAAUUCAAACAUUGAAGUCAUUGGACUCUUUUUUGUUUUUUUAAAGUCAACCAAAGUUAGUCUUAAUAAUAUUUAUUUUUUAUAUUUGAUGUGAUGUCAUAAACUUUUACCAUUUCGUCACCACCGAAAAUACGUUUAUAACAAACGUGAGGAUUAAUUUAUUAGUAGAACUCGCAUUAAAUAGGGUUCAUUGACUUUAACCCAUUUGUGUGGAAAUUGAUUAAAUUCCGAAAAUUGCUUUUCAAAAUCGUCCAUUCAUCGCUACCGCCGCUAUUUGAGGGUCUUUGCAUUUAUAUUUGCGGUGUGGAAAUAUGAAGAGACAUCGAUAUUAAUAAACCCGUAGGGCAAGGCAACAUACGAUAAGAUGUUGAUACUUUGAAUAAUAUUUUUGACGCAGUAACGUUGAAAAUUUAAAAUAAAAUAAGUGUUGAAAAAUUAUUAGUGUUUCGUUGACCCAUGACUCGGCUGUUUGAAUCUGAGAUCUUACAACUUGCAAUAUGUUAGGUAUAUUUUUAUUUACUGAAGAUUGUACGUAAGUUUCCAUACUAAUUAAUUCACAUUAAAACUCAAAUCUCAAGCUAAAAAUGGGUCUAAGUAAUGAACCUUGUAAAUGUUCAUGUGAAUUUCCAUUUGUAGUUUGAAGCAAUAACAAUUUUUCGUCUUCAUUUAGUUAAUGAAUUUGCUUAUGGCUCAUCUUGAUAUUCAAAAUAUUCAAUAAUGUAUCAUCCACAGAAUGUGUACUACUCUAAUCGCAUUGGUAGGUACAAGUGUAGUGUUUCUAAGAAGCAUAAUUGCAUCCACAAUUAAUCUCCCUUUAAUUCUUGUCAAAAUUAUAAGUUUACCAUUAAAGGAAAAAAAAAAGAAUGAAUGAAUACAUCAAGACGCUAUUUGGUAUAACGCUCAUUUUCUAACUUAAAGAUAUAUUAUCUAUGCUAUUAUAAAAAAUUGGUGUAAACGAUAAAAUUUGAGUGCAAAAACCAAAAAAAAGAAUUUCCCAAGGAAGAGUGGGCACAUUUUCUCAUUCUUCGUACCAAAGUUGCAUAUGUAUUAAAGCGUUCUAAACUCAUUUAAAAACAAGAAAACGAACGUGGCAGACUUUGAUGACGAAAUCCAACGGCCUCGGUGUAAAGGUUGAUUUUCGUAAUCAAGUCAGCACACGCGUCGCUAUAUGAUUGGUUGGAAUAGUCGUGUGUUAAUAAGGGCCGAUCAAGAUCGCCGACCUUUUUUUUUCCUCCCAGUGGGUUCCGCCAAAUUGAUGAGCCAAGUUUGGCUCUUGGUACUUCUGAAAUCUUUUACACCACAAAACGCAAGAGCAUUUAUUCACUUGAAAAGCCAUACACGCCAUUUUAUUGUCAUUUUUUCCAAAGCACGAAUGGAUGGUCCCUUCGUUGUGCGAUUGAAAGGACAUUGAUACCAAAGAGGAAAAGGAAAAAUUAGUAAACUUAUGCAAUUUAAUUUAUGAAAUUAAUUACAUGAUUUAUUUUAAUGAUUGAUGUUAUUAUGUUAUGAUAUUUCUGGAGAUUGAUUUCAUCUUGUUAAAUAUAUGAAUUGGACAACACAUCGCAUUUAACCACUACCAAAUAAUCUUAGAUGCAAUCGAGCCUUAGUUGUAGAAAAUAGGUGAAAUAUAAAUAUAUGCAUUUUCAGUCCUUGUCACCAUUGUUAUACGAUAUAUGACACUUUAAUUUUGCCUAAAGAUUCAAAAUGUUUUAAAAAAACAUUGGAGUGCUAAAAAUCAAUAGAAGGACUAAAAUACAACAUUUUCACCCUCACGAAAAACCACAAAUUUUUAUAAUUUUAUUUCAAUCCUCAAAAUAAUGAUCCUCAUAAAUCAACUCAUAUGGGUAAUACAUCAAUUUUAUUUUUGUUUGAAAAAAUGAAAACAUAAUUCCAAAGUGGUCCAGACCAUUUGAAAAAAAAAAUGAUAAAUAUUAUUUGGAUAUGAUAUCAACUCAAAAUUCAAACAAAUCUUACAAACAACUGGCGAAAAAUGGUGAAUUCCAUUCCUUGACCGGGGUUUAUUAAAUUAAAGUGCUGUCAUCGUUUACCAAAACCUCUAACUAGCAAUACCCACUAAUAAUAUCCUAAAUAAUUUAGCCCACAUACAUUUAACAUUUAUUUUUAAAAACAAAUCUAACAAUCCAGCAUUUCAUGGACCGCAAGACUAUAUAUAUAUAUAUAUAUAUAUAUACACGCAACUAAACAUUCCUUGCUCCACAUGACCAAACUUGCACCCAUAUGGUACCAUUUCUUUCAAACAUAAAAAAACAAUUGAAAAAGGGGGCCUCACUUUUCAGCUCAAUAAAAUACACUAGAAAGUAUUAUCAGUUACCAAAUCUAACUCACAAUCAUUAAAAAAAGAAAAAUGAUAAACGAACAAAAAGGAGUGAGAAGGACGAUGGAAACGGCAGCACGAGCUGCCGUUUCACGCGUCCUUCUUACUCUUACCAUUUGGCGUUUAAAAUAUUAAAAUAACACUUUAAAAAGGAAAAUGGUAUUGACAUGAAGGACUAAAGGAGAGCACAAAAAUUUGGGUCUAAAAGCCACCUGUUCGUACGUGCAAACACCACACGCACGGACGCAAAAAUCCAGCAAAAAACUCACGCGUCUCCCUCACCAAGCAGCAAGAUUCUCGAUCUCUCUCUCCCAACAUUCUCCAUGUCUCUCUCCCGUUUCAACACUAGGUCGGUCUCAGCUUCGUUCUCCCUCACCACGCAGCAGCACAAAACCGGUCAUUUUCAACAAUUUCUUAAAAAAAAAAAUGAAACAAAAGCCACAACCUUGCAGUCAAUAGUGCUGCCGUUGAUGUGGUUCUGAUAGUUAAAUAGGUUCUGAUAUAUAGUUAAAGAAGAUUUUCUGGACAUGUCUAGUAGAUGCCCUGCUGUUGACAUAAAUAGUUACAGGACGAUAUUGUAUCAGCAAAUUUUUAUUCAUUCAUCAAGUCAUAGUGCAAGUUGUAGCAAUUAGGGAGAGAACCGAUGAGGAUGGAAAAAGAUCCGAGUGUCUUAUUGUCAGUGUUGUAGAUUUUUGUUCUCUCAAAUGGAGUCCAAAUGCUGAAUUCCGCAGCUGCAAAGAAACCCGAACAAUUUCCAUUCCAUGCCUUCUCAAUGGUCAAUGGCCAAUUUGUGCCACUUAUAUGUAUCAACUGCAAAGCUGCCUCUGUUGACGUGGUGGUUGUCGGCACCAAACUCAAAUCUCGACGGCACCGAAUGCAGAUUUCUCAUCUUUUAAAUAGCAAGCCAAUGAUUUUAUUUUAUUUGGCUAUCGAAGUCGAAGUUCUGCCGCUUGGAGAAAGGAAAUGGCCGCAUUAUUUUUAAAGCUGUAGAACAACUGCAGGAGUAGAUCACAGGCCUCCAUUUCUAAACUUUAUUGCGGGCCAUUGCUUAUUUCAUUGACCAUUAUUUUUGCGCCAUUUUUUAACCAUUAUUUUAAUGUAUUUGUGGACCAUGGGGAAGAGUGAGAAGGACGCGUGAAUCGGCAGCAAAUUCUGCCUUUUCUGUCGUCCCUCUUUCUUCCUUAUGGCUAAAUAGCAUAACUCAAAAAGAAACGUCAACACCAUUGGACCUCAGUUUUGGAUCCAUCCCAAUAAAAAACACUAGUCAAUGAAAAGUGAUAUAUCAUCAAGCAAAAUCAGUUCACACACAUGCAAGCUCUGACUAAAAAAUUACAAAAUAUAACAAAAUUCAGGCAAACCAUUGCCAGCAAGCAUUGUUUAAACAUUGAAUGGAAAGGCAAGUAAAGAAUUGAACAAACCUGAUGCUAGAAAUCGAAUUUGAAAGGGAACAAAGCAGUGAAAUCCCGCAAUUCAGAAAAAAAUAAAAAAAAGGACAUAUUAAAUUAAAUGAUUGAGCAAUUUCAAGAUUUAAUAAAAGGACAAAGUAUAAGCUUCUUGAAUUAAAAAAAUAAAAAAAUAACAACUGAAACAAACAAGAAUUAAAAAAAUAAAUAAUAAAGAUAAACCAUUCAUGAUAGAAAUCCCAAAAACAGGGCAUAAAGUAUGAAGAAAUAAGGGAGAUAACAACAAAACUGAAAAUUAAUUUUAUAAAGCUCAACUAAUUUAUUCAAAAUAAAAAAUAAAAAAGCUAAUUGACAAUAAACCUAAGGAUUCAGCAAUUACAAGAAUGGCUUCUCCACCGCCAAUUAAACAAUGCAAAGAAAUAGCGACAACGACGGCUUCAAUAGCGAACGUGUUGUUCGAAGGCGCAACAAUGAGCAUAUAUGGUGAUUUUGUGCUUAAAAUUUUAUAAUGAAGUGGUUGCUUCAAUAGCAUAUACGAUGAUUUUGGUUUCCAUGCAAUGGAUUUCAAAACCAAUUUGUAGAUUAAAGUAGGCACUACUAAAAAAACGCGUUUUUAUGAUAGAAAAUUUAUGAUACAUAUCGAAUUGUCACGAAAGUAUCAUCAAAGAAUGAUAUUUUCGUGACUAAUAUCUUUUUGUCAAACUGUUAUGACAUAUUCGUGACUCAUUUAUUUAUGUCAUUUAUUAUUGAUAAAAACAUGUCAUGUUCUGUUUUUAUUUUUUUAAUCAUUUAUAAAACUUGAUAGGCAUCAAUCACGGGUUCAAACGACAUCGUAUUUAAAUUGAUUUAUUUUACCAAAAUGCCAUUAACAAAAAAUUUUUACUUUAUAAUUAUUAAAAAAAAAGGUUAAACGAUGUCGUUUAAGCGUUAUAGUUUAAAAGAUCCAAACUUUCAACACUCAGAAAAAUUAAGUGUUUCGUAUGUUUUCUUUUCACACGAAUAAACAGCCCUAACCCUUACUAACAACACAGCCCUAACUCAGUUUCAGCCAAAGAAAACGAAACAUUCACAGCCGCCAUCACCUCAGCCUCUCACUCAACUCAUAUCACUCAACUCAUAUCACUCAACCUCCCACUUAAAUCAGCUGUCAUUAUUCGAUUGGAAAAACCUCAGGCCAUGCGAAGACCCAUGGAAGCGGUGGUAGAGCCAACGCGUGGCGGGAUGCCGCGAAUUGAGAUCCAUGACCCGUACAAACUCGAUGGCUGGUCGCAGCAACUCCCGCGACUUCUGGGCAGUGGUGGCGGUCGGAUUUUGAAGGGGUUGUUGUGAGGAGUAAAACUGAGGUGGUGGUUGAGAGAGGUCUGGUGCAACCGUGGGAAGGGUGACUGGGGAGCUUGAAGUGGGUGGUCAAUUUACUCCAUUUCCUUCUUCACCUCCAAGUUACAUUGGUGUUAAUGGGUUGUGCCCUCUUGCAUACUCUUUAUUGGCCCAGGUAACAAAUCUUUAUUUUGCAUUUGUGUUCUUUUAUUGUUGAUUCUAUCUUGCUUUUUGCAUAAAAAAGGGAAAAGUUCUCUAAUUAAUCACAAUGACAAGAAACUCCCGAAUUAUUUUGAAGUUUUCUAGAAGGUAAUGUUGAAACUUGGCUAUUUAAUUUCCCAAAAUCGUUUUAGUUUUGAAGAAAUCCACCGCUCAUCGUUGCUCUGGUGAAGAAGGUAAAGACGAAAAUAACUUCUUUUUUUUUUUUUUUGGAAACUGAAAAUACACUACUUUAUAUAUGAUUGUCUAGGAUUAACAAGGGAAAUUUCAGCAAGAAACUAACAGAAGUAGAUCAGCCAUGGCUUAACACACUACAUGCACAAUCUUGCAGUGACACAGAAAGUCACUAGAAAAACAUUUACUCUUUAACACUUAUUGCUGGUCAACUUAAGCUAACAUAAAAUUUCAACAGAUGCUAAUACUUAUAACUUAGGGGCACUUGGGUUUAUUGCCCCGAGUAGUCAUAUCAGUGUAGCACUUGCCACACUUCUCUCUGUUGCCAUAAGUUCCUGGCCAACAGAAGCAGAGCAGCUCUGAAAGCCAUUGGAAGACAGAACCCAGCCGAAAGAAACGAAGAAGAAAGUUUGAGAAGCUAGGCACUCCCUGCUUGGUGCUCAAGACGAAAAUAACUUGUUUGAUUUUGAAAAUUAAAUCCGUUGCUCCUUAUUAUUCCUUGAUUUAUUGGCUUUUUCUAUUUAUUAUGCAUAGUUAAAAAUGGAAAUUGAUCUCUCAAUGCCUUGGGUUUUGACCUAACUAAAAUUUGGGUUCUUUGAAAUCGAAGUUGGAGGUUAAUUUGGCUGAUUUUGAAUGAUGAAUUUAUCACUGACAAUUCAAAUUGAUUGAGUUCUCUUUGGUAAAUAAUAAUUGGUUAAUUUGACUGAUUUUGGAUGAUGAAUCUUCUUUGCAAUGUUAGUCAUUGCAAUAACAUUGUUUUGAGUUCAUGUGUAUUCUCUACUAUGCAUUUUUCUUCCCAAAAUUUCCAAUAGCGUAGUGCUUGUACUCAAAGAUUGCUUCGCAGGGAUCAAAAUUGCUUCAAUUCAUCUUGCAGCAACUGGAACUUAAACAUAAGCAUGCCAAUACGAUCGGCAGUUUGUUGGACUUUGCUUGGUCGAUGUUGAAGACAUGAAGAUUCAUUUAAAAGUGGGAAUAUUUUCUGACAUUGGGUUUGGUGUUUAUUUUUUAUGGGAAAGAUUGUAUACCAAAUUGUACAAAUGUUUGUUUACUUGAAUUGUUUGGUUGUAAUGAUUAAAUUAUAGAUGCUGAUUUGGAUGUCAAUUAUAGAAUUAUUUUUGGAUUAUUUAUUUAUUUUUUAGAAUUAAUUGAUAUAUUAUUGAAAUGUGCCAAAAUGAUUUUAAAAUAAUUUUUAAUAAUUCCCGCCCAAAUAUUUUGAAAAAUUAAAAAUAAUUGCGCCAAAUUAAAUAUUUAUCACUUUAAAUAUUUUAAUAUUUAUUUAAAAUUUCAGUUAUUCCUUUUAGAUUUAAUAAAAAUAAUUUUAUUAUUCCAAUUAAAUAUGUCAUGUUUAUGCGAUAGACAAAAGUCAUGAAUGGGAAAUGUUUAUGAUAGAUAUUAGUCAUGGGUGAAAAUUUCUCAUCAAGAUACCCAAUGACAGAAUCGUGAUAGAUAAUAUGUCAUGCUAAACAUGACACAUAAAAAUAGUCAAGGAUUUUUCUUGACACCGGAAUCAAUGACGGUCGCUCAAUUGUCAUGCCAUAGGGUGGAUGACGGGUAAUAACCGUUAUAAAGGACUUUUUUUCUAGUAGUGAGGGCUUGUUAAUUAUGGAUUUUGAGGGGUUUCAAUGCUUAGGUUUCUCAGCCCCGAUGGAGUGAUGAAGUCAAAGGAACUGAAGUGUUUAUUAAAAAUUAGAAUUUUCUUGUAGUUUAAAGUCUAUAGUAAACGACAGUGUUUAGAAGUUAAAAAAUAUUUUUAUUUUUAAAAUUUUUUAAAUUAUGAAAAAUCAACACACAGUGCCGUUUCAUGCCCAAAUUGAUCAAUCCUAAACUCACCGUUUCAUUAAAUAUUAAUAUGCUAUCAUAUUUAUAUGAUGUAUAAAAACUAUCACAAAUUUGUCAUGCCUUUAUGAUGUAUGAAAAUUAUGUCACGUGUCUAGCAUAUUCUUAUGAUAAAUGACUAAUUUUCUAAUAUCUAUCACAAAAAUUCUGUCAUGUUAGCCCAUUAUUCUAGUAGUGAGAUAUUUAUCCAACUAGACUACAAAGUAAUUGAAAUUAAUUGUAACACCUAUGGCCAAAACUUGGACCCAGUGUUAUUCUAUAAUCAAAAUUGAAACCUAUAAUUACAGUCAACUUGAAUCUGAAUCAAAUGGGCAAAUGCGGGCAAAUGCCAUCUCUAGGCUCUAACCAUGAAACAAUAAUCAAAUCGUCAGACUUCUAAAAUAAGCCAAUGAAACAUUACUCACAAACCCAUCUAUUAACAUCUUUAAAGCUUUGGCACUGAAACUUAAAAGAGAGUUUUGUGUUAAAUAGUAUUGAAAGUAAACACAACAACAAUUAUAUAUAGCAAAGAUUAGUGGGAAAACAGAUGUAUUAAAAUUGUUCUUGACUCCCAAUUCUGCCAAAAUAAAAUAAAUGAGCGUAACAAGCAACCGGACCACAGAGAAAGAUAUCUCCAACACCAUAAGCGGUCGCUUCUGAAAAUGCAUUCUGGUUGCAGCUCUACUUCUUGUCACGGUACAAGUAUGUGUGUUGAGUAAUGAAAAGUACCAGCUCAACUAUCUCCUCAUCCCUCACCCCGGAACGAAUCUCCCCAGCUGAAUGGCACGAGCAGUGUCUUGGUAAUAUAUCCUGUACGGAGCAUAUGCCAACUAGAGACGAGUACUGACCAGAGGUACAUACCGACCAGAUAAUCAUCACCCAAAGAAAGAGGACACGAUCUCAAGAACUCACGACAGUUUCUCCAUACCCCAAACCGCUGGGGAGAACAUGACAUUCCACGUUUACCCACGAUUCGGCGGUUGGAGACCCAUGAAGGUCUGUCAUCACCCGAAAAUGAGGGGCAUGAAGAAUACUCAGAAAACGUGGGAUGAUUGCCUAUAAAAGCAUAUGUGUUUAUUUAAUUGUAAUAAACAUUUUUUCUGAUUAAUAAAAUUAAUGAGGUAUUUUAUUCAAAUAUCUUAAUUGCAUUAAUAUUUUGAUCAAAGUCCAUUUAAUCAUAUUAUAUGUAUUUAUGUGAUCACCAUGUGGAUUCACAAAAGACAUAAAUAUAAGUUAUCUUAUGAUUAAAUAAAAUUAGUUCGCAGUUGAUAAAUAAAGUUGGGCACUUUAUUUAGGUAUAGACUGUAAUGAAUUCAUUGAAUGAUUUGUCUUAAUCAUGUAUGAAUUUAUUAAUGUAGUACGACUACAUUGAACAAGAUCACAUAUGAGAUUUAUUUAACCUUGAAAUGACUGUCAGACUUAUUAAAUCUCAUAGGCAUUGAUUUUACUGUAAUCUUAAUCUUGAGUUAAUUAUGAUUUCAUGAUUGUAAUUGUUAUUCCAUUUGAGUUACCAAUCGGCACGACACAUUCUUGUGGUCAAGAUUACCCGGUAUCUUGGUGGGAGCAAUUAUGAGUAUUGGAGUUAUGGAUUAACAAUAUAGAAUUUGUACAACACAUCUCUUGAUGGGUUUUCGACACUUGAUCAUAUAAUUCUCUGGCUAGAGUGUGUCAACAUAUUUAGUAUGUUGAAAAUUAUCAUUAGAGAAAACCAGUAAGUAUCAAGGACCAAGAUGUUAUUAAAUUGAUUGGACAGUUGAGAUAUCAAUUUAAUUAACGAUGUGGUACAAAUGAUUGUGCAGUAAAGAAAUCAAUGUGGCUUGGGACGAAUUAUUAUUCGAGCAUACAAUUAUGGAAGUCAGUUCCAAUCUUUUAGUGGAGUAGAUUUGGAAUUAAAUAAUUGGGCUAGUUUAAUUAUAGGCCUAAUUAUUGUAGCCAUUAGUGUAUGUUCCCAAAUGAUCCCCGGGUUAGCUCAUUUAAUUGACUGCACCACUACUGGAUUAAUAAGCAAGAUAACUAGCUAUUUGGGUCAAAAGCCUAAAUAUAUCAUUUAGUGGGAGGCUCCAUUUAAUUAGCUUGUGUGUAAGGGGCCUUAUGUUAUUUUACAAGGUGGGUCCCCUAUAGAAAAAGCAAGUAACGUGAGUUUUGAUUUUGAUAAUUUGGAGCCUAGGGUUUUCACAAAAGGGAGAUAUAAAAAGACUUAUUUUCUCUAAAGAAAGAGAGAGCAGCCACUUUAUACAGAUGAGAGAAAAAGAUUUUUCUCUCUAUUGUUGAGAGAAAAAUUUUCUCGUGCUAGUUGUUUUAGUAGUGAUAAAGGCGCCCACACGUCAAGUGCAGAUCAAACCUGAGUCAUAACCUGGAAGAUCAUUGGUGACAGUUCGUGAUCUAACAAGCGUGGUGGUGAUGGAUUGUGAUCUAAUAGGCGUGGUGGUGACGGAUCGUGAUCUGGGAGCCUAAAUCACUUCAGCGGAAAAAUCUAAAUCGGAUUUUCAAGGUACGAUUUCUAGAUUACAAAUUCUUAUAUAUUAUAUGAGAGCGAUCUUAAAAGGUUUUAUAAAAAAUUAAAAAACUGAAUUUUCCCCAACAGCAUGUUCUAUGCAUAUGUCGUGUCAGAAAAUUAUUUCUUAGUUUCAUAGACAAGAAUGAUGAAGGAGAGAUGUAAAUAUGAACGCCGUUCUAAGCCAACUAAAGUUGAAUUCGCCAUAUCAUUAUAAUGGAUGUUAAUAUUGCUAAUUUGGAGUCAAAGUCAUGCGUUGAUUGCAUUUGUAUUGUCUGUAUGACUAGGUCGUGGCAAAGGCUCAUGGAAUAAAUCUGCUUCUUUUUACUCUUUUCCCCACUACCACCAGUUCACUUAACUUUUCCUUCACGGCAUGCUGAAUGAGAUCUUCUACUCCAUCAGUGCAUUUAGGAUUAGAUUUCUAAUUUGUCCGAUGUCUCUGCAUUUUCUUGAACUCUCUACUCUUCCUCGUGUAAUUAAGGAGGAUUAAAGUAAAAGAAAAGGGUAGAACCAGUUAUCCCUAUUUGUUGCACUAGCUAUUAGAUUUCCAUAUUAGAGUAAUUAUUGGCCAAAAACAUAAUUUUUUAUUUAAAUUGUCAAAAAGACUUGAAUGUUCUCAUCCUAAAAUAAGUUCCAUUAAAAUGAUCAUAAUAUUUAUGGAAUGUUUAUAACUAAGAAUGAGUGCAAGCAUAUCAUAUUUAUUUCUAUUUAGGUUUAUAAGAAUUAUAAGAGGAAAGAAACUCUUUUUUGGAAAGAAUCCUAGUCUUUUAACUACAAUCUUAAUAAUUUUUUUCACAUCAGCCACAUACUUAUCAAACAACAUAUCAUAUUUAAGGCAAGAUUUAUCCAUUUUUUGUUUAGCACAUGACAUAUAAUCGAGACAAAUUUCAACAUAUUGUAGUAAUGGGCAGCAAUGAUAAACGGUUUCCAUUAUCAAUAAAUUAAGCAACAAAACAAUAUUAAUAUUCAGUUUAUAAAUUAAUGAAAUAAAUAAAUUAAAAACAAAAGCUUGUCAUCAUGUGCAACAAAUAUAACUUCACCAACGUGUUGUCAUCGUUUGCCAAAACCUGUAACUAACAAUACCCAGCUAAUAAUAUCGUAAAUAAUUUAGCCCACAUAUAUCUAACAUUUAUUUUUAAAAAAAAUCUAACAAUCCAGUAUUUCAUGGACCACCAGACUAUAUAUAUAUACAUAUAUAUAUAUAAGCAACUAAACAUUGCUUGGUCCACAUGACCAAACUUGCCCCCACAUGGUACCAUUUCUUUCAAACAUUAAAAAGACAAUUGAAAAAGGGGGCCUCACUUUUCAACUCAAUAAAAUACACUAGAAAGUAUUAUCAAUUACCAAGUCUAAAUCACAAUCAUUAAAAUAUAUGUCAACACCAUUGGACCUCAGUUUCGGAUCCUUCCCAAUAAAAAACACCAGCCAAUGAAAAGUGCUAUAUCAUCAAGCAAAAUCAGUUCACACACAUGCAAGCUUUGACUGAAAAAUUACAAAAUAUAACAACCUUCAGACAAACCAUUGCCAGCAAGCAUUUUUUAAACAUUGAAUGGAAAGGCAAGUAAAGAAUUGAACAAACCUGAUGUUAGAAAUCGAAUUUGAAAGGAAACAAAGCAGUGAAAUCCUGCAAUUCAGAAAAAAAAAAAUUUUUAAAAGAGGGCAUACUAAAUUAAAUGAUUGAGCAAUUUCUAGGUUUAAUAAAAGGACAAAGUAUAAGCUUCUUGAAUUAAAAAAAAAAAUUAAAAAAUAACAAAAGAAACAAACAAGAAUUAAAAAAAUUAAUAAUAAAGGUAAACCAUUCAUUAUAGAAAUCCCCAAAAAAGAGGCAUAAAUUAUGAACAAAUAAGGGAGAUAACAAUAAAACUGACAAUUAAUUUUAUAAUGCCCAACUAAUUUAUUCAAAAUAAAAAAAUAAAAAAGCUAAUUGACAAUAAAGCUAAGGAUUCAGCAAUUACAAGGAUGGCUUCUCCACCGCCAAUUAAACAAUGCAAAGAAAUAGUGACAACGACGGCUUCAAAAGGGAACGUGUUGUUCGAAGGCGCAACAAUGAGCAUAUAUGGUGAUCUUGUGCCUAAAAAUUUAUAAUGAAGUGGUUGCUUCAAUAGCACGUACAAUGAUUUUGGUUUCUAUACAAUGGAUUUCAAAACCAAUUUGUAGAUUAAAGUAGGGCUUGUUAAUUCUGGAUUUUGAGGGGUUUCAAUGCUUAGGUUUUUCAGCCCUUGCUGAUGGAGUGAUGAAGUCAAAGGAGCUGAAGUGUUUAUUAACACUUAGAAUUUUCUUGUAGUUUAUAGUAAACGACAACGUUAAGAAGUUAAAUAAAUACUUUUGUUUUUCAAAUUUUUUUAAUUAUGAAAAAUCAAUCCUCGGUGCCGUUUCAUGCCCAAAUUGAUCUGUACUAAACUCACCAUUUUAUUAAAUAUUAAUAUGCUAUCAUAUUUAUAUGAUAUAUAAAAACUCUAUCACAAAUCUGUCAUGCCUUUACGAUAUAUGAAAAUUCUGUCACGUGUCUAUCAUAUUCUUGUGAUAAAUGACUAAUUUUCUAAUAUCUUUCACAAAAAUUCUGUCAUGUUGGCCCAUUAUUCUAGUAGUGAGAUAUUUAUCCAACUGGACUACAAAGUAAUUGCAAUUAAUUGUAACACCUAUGGCCAAAACUAGGACCCAGUGUUAAUUUAUAAUCAAAAUUGAAACCUAUAAUUACAGUAAACUUGAAUCUGAAUCAAAUGAGCAAAUGGGGGCAAAUGCCUUCUCUAAGCUCUAACCAUGAAACAAUAAUCAAAUCGUCAGAUUUCUAAAAUAAGCCAAUGAAACAUUACUCACAAACCCAUAUAUUAACAUCUUUAAAGCUUUGGCACUGAAACUUAAAAGAGAGUUUUGUGUUAAAUAGUAUUGAAAGUAAACACAUCAGCAAUUAUAUACAGCAAAGAUUAGUGGGAAAACAGAUGUAUUAAAAUUGUUCUUGAGAUAGGAAUGACGAAGGACAGAUGCAGGGGCACCAUUUUAAGUCAACCAAAGUUAAAAGAUGAUUCGAACCCAUAGUUGUUGCAUAAAAACCUUUGUUACCUUUACUUUUGUUGUCAAAAUUAUUAUUAAUAUAAUUUUUUUAAUGGUAGAAGUAGAACCUAAUCCCUCACAAUUAUCAUUUAAUAAUAUGUUAAUUACCAAACACUAUUAUUUUUUUAUUCAUACCUAGUAGUGAUUUAAAUUUGAAAAGCGACAAAUCCAGAAACCAGUUUUUAAUAUAUAAUAACCAGCUUAUAUUUUUAUUUUUUGAGGAGAAAUGUAAGGAUCCUAUAAAAAAAAAAACCGCCAACAUUACAAUGACAGAAUUAGAAACGAAAAUCACAAUAACAUUAUAAUUGCAUUCAGUUUCUACGUCUCCUCCUCCUCCUUGUUGCCUUUUGCUGCGUUCCCAACUUCUCCAGAAUCCAUCCGAUAAUUCCUGUGCUAAAGUUGAACCCGACAACCAAUCCUGCCACAAGUCCGCCCGCGUAGCCAAUCAGAAUGAUUUUCCAAUCAGAUGUGCCCGAAAAUAGAGACUCCUCUGAGCCCUUAGUAUGAUCUUCAUUUGCUGGAGCUACAUCACUCUCACAUCCUUUGGACAAAGGCCUUCCACACAAUCCUGAGUUGCUGUCGAAAGAAGUAUUGUCAAAUGUAGCAAAUUGCUUUCCUGGUGGUAUCAGUCCUGUAAGGUGAUUGUCCGAGACAUUGAAGAAUUCGAGAAAUGUGAGCUCAACUAGUUGUUGAGGAAUCUGUCCUGAAAACUUAUUGUUUGAGAGAUCCAAUGAUUCCAAAUUUGGUAGAUUGCCCAAACAUGACGGAAUAUGGCCUUGGAGACUAUUGUUCUGGAGAUUUAGAACUUGAAGUCCCUUUAAAUUCGCAAUCGAUGCUGGAAUCACCGAAUCAAAACUAUUGUUUGAGAGAAUAAUGCCCGCUAGGAUAUCCGGAAUCUUGUUAUAUGUCAUCAUUCGCCCUUUUGAUGUUCAUUGUCAUUAAGUAGUCGUAAGUGCUAAGUAUAUCAUUGGCCGUUUGUCCAUACGGAGAAAGCACAUCUUGCAGAUAUCUUAGCUCACUUGUUGAUGAAGAGUAGGAAUCCAUAUUAUACUAGGAUUAGUUUCCUUAUUAACUAAAGUUUAAGACUUUUAAAUUCCUUUCUAAUUUAGAAUUUUGUUUCCCUUUCAAUUUAGGAUUUUGUUUUUACUUCAUGAAUUAGGAUAAUUACUACUACUAUAAAUAGCUCCCUCUUGUAGUCUUUGAUGGUAGAAUUUUGAGUUUAAUAAUAUUUCAAUUUUCAAAUCUCUUUGUGAGUAUUUGAACAGUUAAUUCUCGGUAUUCUGCAGAAUCAACGAGUCUUAACCCCUAAAUUCGCGGUAUUCUUUUGAAUCAACGUGAAUUUAGUUGUUCUUUUGUUCCGGUAUUCUCUAGAAUCAACAGAAUAUUUUGAACAUUAAAAUUCCGCUGCAUCACUUGUAUUGACAAUUUUCAUGGCAUUCCAACACAAGAAACUCUUUAAUGGAAGCGUUCCAAUAAAUAUGUUGUUAGAUAGGUCAAUGAUGCGGAGUUUAGAAAAUCCACAAUCAGUUCUGGGUUCUUUUAUAAUGCCAUAAAAUAUGUUAGAUCGUAGGAUGAGAACAUUCAAGUUUGGAAGAGUUCCUAACCAAGAGGGAAAAGUGUCACUAAUCUGGUUGUUCCCAAGACCAAGAAAUUCCAACUUUGAACAGUUGAUCAAUGAUCUUGGAAUUCUUCCUUAAAAUAUAUUAUGGCUUAAAUCAAUCACGCCUAAUCUACUUUCUUUAAUGAAAGUAUUUGGGAUGGUCCCAAAGAAGUUGUUCCCCUGCAAGUCGAGCACUGAAAGUUCAUCACUAGAAUUGCCUAAACACUGAGGAAGCAAUCCACUUAAGUUAUUGUGAGACAAAACAAGGCUUUCAAGAAUAUUCAAAUUGCAUAUCCACGAUGGAAUUUCCCCAGUUAAGCUAUUGUUUGAAGCUAGAUAGUGAAUGGUUCCGGGGGGUGGAACUGGGAGUGGUCCUUGUAAAUUAUUAGAGCUAAGAUCAAAAGUCAGCAAAUCACCUUUAUUCGCUGGAAGAACAACAAGAUGCUGAUCAAACCCAGUUAAAAAGUUAUGCGAAAUGUUCAAGGCAUUGAGAUUCUGCAUAUUGGGGUCUAACAACCAUUUAGGUACUUUUCCUUGAAUUCUAUUGUCAGAAAGGUCCAGGACCAGCAAAUGAUAUUGGUUUUGCAAGAAAUUUGGAAAUUUAGUAAGAUUGCAAGAACGCAGUCCUAUAUACUUAAGUUUCUGUGAAGUGGUAUUAGAAGUGGCUUUGGUGAGCACUGACAACCUAUUUAAUGAGAGAGCUAAAAAUUCCAAAUUUUUCCAGCUAGUAAGUAAAACAUCUAACUUUAUCGUUCCUCUAUAAGAAUUUUUAGCAAGGUCAAGGAAGAAAAGUUGGGAAAGAUUCCUAAGUGAAGAUGUAAUUUGACCUGAAACAUUACACUUAGCGAUAUGUAUUGCUUCCAAUGAUCUAAGAUUUCCAAUGGAACCAAGUAAGUCACCCGAAAAAUUAUUCAAUCGAAGAUACAAAAAUUGUAGCUGGGUGAAAUUACCAAUCGAAUGUGGAACUUUGCCCCAAAAACUACAUGACCUCAGAUCCAAUAACUUCAAAGAACUAAAAUUUUCAGUGGACCAUGGAAACUCAACCGAAAAAUUAUUGAAUGAAAGGUCAAGUUUUUCCAAAGAAAAAAGAUUUCGAAUGGAAGUAGGCAACUCACCAAAAUAUCCAUUUUGUGAAAGGUCAGGUUCUUUCAAAGAACCAAGAUUUCCCAUGGAAAUAGGCAAUUCACCAAAAUAUCUAUUUUGUGAAAGUCAAGUUCUUUCAAAGAACUAAGAUUUCCAAUGGAAAUAGGCCACUCACUCGACAAAAAAUUUGCAGAGAGAUCAAGUUCUUCCAAUGAACGAAGAUUACCAACGGAAACAGGCAGCUCACCCUGUAAUUCAUUUAGUGAAAGGUCUAAAUGAAGGAGCUUGGAUAGAUUACCGAGUGAGGAUGAAAUUCUUCCUGAAAUUUGUUAAAAAAGAAAAAAGAACACAUUGCUUAAGUAGAAAAUUAAAAAUAAUAAUAGUUUUUACUAAUGAAUUUAACAUUGCAUGUAUAUUAAUUAAGGAGAAAAUAUAUAAAAUUUAAUUACCUUGCAAUUCACAGUUUCGGAGAGAAAUAAUCGUCGAAGAAGAUAGAUUUGCGAUGUUAUGAGGUAUCGUUGACUGAAUAGAAACAUCACCAAGGUCAAGUGUUUUUAGAUUGCCUAACUUCUCCACUAAAUUUACGAAACUAGGCUUCUGGAGUUCAAGUCUACCACCAGGAACAUCAUUUAGUGAUAAAUCAAGGGACACCAAAUUGGAGAGCUUUAGAAUUUCUGAUGGUAUUUGGCCAGAUAAAGAAGUUCCAGAGAGGUUCAAGUAUGAUAACCUGGAAAGGUUGAUGAUUUCUGGUGGGGUUUCGGAGGAAUUGAAGUCAUUCAAAGCAAGAUUAAGCCACUCAAGAUGGACAAGCUUGAAAAGGCUGCUGCUAGAGUUGAUAGAACCAAAAAGGCAGCUAUGGGAGAGGUCAAGCUUGAUGACAUGACCAGUGUUCUUAUUGCAAUGAACUCCGUCCCAAGAGCAGCAAUCAACCUUACCUUCUUCUGGCUUCCAUGAUGCCAUUGUAGGACGACAGUCAAAUUUCCAAGCAUAAAAAUCACCACUGAUGCGGCUUUCUUUGAAUUGCAACAAAGCAGAGCGCUCAUCAUCAUGGCAGAGUGGCGGCAUAGAAGAAGCAGUGAAGUUAGCAAUUGUAAAAUUAAAGAAAAAGAAGGGAAAAACUAACCGUAUGAAUAUUGUGAAUAAACAUAUGGAGGAUAAACCCAUAGUUUUCUUAAAAAUAAAAUUUGUUUAACUUUGUAGAUGUGAAGAAAUUUAAGGAUCUUGGUUUGCUUUUUUAGGGAAAUUGCAGCAAUUCAAACAUUUUAGUCAUUGGACUCUUUUUUUAUUUUUUUAAGUCAACAAAAGUUAGUCUUAAUAAUAUUUAUUUUUUAUUAUUUGAUGUGAUGCCCCACAAAAAAAAAUUGAUUUAAUGUGUUAUUAACAAUCUAUCCAGAAAAAACAAUUCUUUAAUAGGAUCUAUCGAACUUGACCUGUGUUUAUAUUUCCUUUCAUUUUCUAUAAUUUCAUUUUCUGAAUUAAUUUGCUUCUUUUUUUUUUCUCCUUUCCCCUCUUGUAUUUCCCUUCACGGCCAGUUGAGUAUUCUGCAUACUCGAGUAUAUGUCAUUGGCUGAUGACUUUUCACUACAACUCAAAAAUUUUCCUCCCCACGGCAUGUUGAUAUUAUCUCCAAACUAGCAACAUUAUCACUGUCACUCUUCUUUGUAAACUACGCACUCGUUGGUUGAGUGAUGAGCACAUGUACCUUGUGAUUAAAAAAUCACGCCAAGAAUUCGAGUUUUACUCCUUUAGAUUUCUUAGCCGAUCUGCCAAUGCGCCAAUUUGUAAUGAGCUUUAGCUGAUGGUUUCUGAGAUGGGCUCUAAUUAGUGCACCUAAAAUGUAACAAAUAUCUCACGUUAACAACCCAAAAUUCCAUAAUUUCAUGCAAAAUCAUUCUAGAAGUUAAAAUUAGGUGUUAAUCAGACACAAACACCAGAAAAAUUAAUGAAAUUUGGAUUCACUAAAAUUGGCGUGAUUUUUUAAUUUAGAUCAAUUAAAAAUACUUCAUUUUAUAGUGUCGGAUUCCCUAUAAGUCGUCAUAAAUCAUUAUCCAGACGAUCAAGGCCGGCGGAUAAAGACUCAAGACUAGAAUUAGAAGUCUUCGAGUAUCAAUCAUAUGUCGUGUCAGAAAAUUCUUUCUUAGUUCUAAGCCAACUAAAGUUGAAUUCGCCAUAUCAUGAUAAUGGAUGUUAAUAUUUGCUAACUUGGAGUCAAAGUCAUGCGUUGAUUGCAUUUGUAUUGCCUGUAUGACUAGGACGUGGCAAAUGCUCAUGGAAUAGAUCUGCUUCUUUUUUCUUCUUUCCCCACUACCACCAGUUCACUUAACUUUUCCUUCACGGCAUGCUGAAUGAGAUCUUCUACUCCAUCAGUGCAUUUAGGAUUAGAUUUCUAAUUUGUCCGAUGUCUCUGCAUUUUCUUGAACUCUCUACUCUUCCUCGAGUAAUUAAGGAGGAUUAAAGUAAAAGAAAAGGGUAGAACGAGUUAUCCCUAUUUGUUGCACUAGCUAUCAGAUUUCCAUAUUAUAGUAAUUAUUGGCCAAAAACAUAAUUUUUUAUUUAAAUUGUCAAAAAGACUUGAAUGUUCUCAUCCUAAAAUAAGUUCCAUUAAAACAAUCAUAAUAUUUAUGGAAUGUUUAUAACUAGAAUGAGUGCUCCUACUUGAACUAGUAAAAUCUCUUGAACUAAUUUAAAGGUUCAAUCCUGCUCACAUGAGUAAGGAGAGGAGAGGGGAUUUGUUUAAAUUUUAUUGUAUUGAAUUUCGUAAUUUCAAUACUUCCACGUAGUUAUUACGAUUUCAUCAAGUUUACGAUGCUAAUGAUCAAACAGUACAGUUUCUAAACUAACUAAAAUAGUACCUAGUUAGCUAAUUAGAUAACGGAUUGAUGGAAUAGAUGUGGAUGUCUAAUUUUAGAGUUUGAAUUUUUUUUAAAUUAAUCAAAGAAAACAUAUUUUCAAUUUUGAGUUAUUGUACUAUUAAUUAAUAAUUUAAUUAAAAAUUUAUUUAUUUGCUAUCAUUCUAGUUGUUGAAAAUGCCUUUAAUAGGGGUUGGUUCAAUAUUUGGUUGGAGUCUCUGAUUUCAUGCUGGCGGUCCAACUCCUUCUCUUCAUCCCUCUUUGACCAUUUGCAAUGUACUUGCAUUGCAAAUUUCUGUAGUCAAACUUGGGUCUUCAAUGUAGUCACAUCCCUUGGUAGGAUUUCUCUCCUUCAAAGAUUAACGCUCUUUCUUCUCGAGAUGCAAAUGGCUUUUCAAAUUGUCAUUUUUGUUAAUGUAGGUCCUGCAUUCACUAUUAGAAAAAUGGGCUAACAUGACAGAAUUUUUGUGAUACAUAUUAGAAAAUUAGUCAUUAAUCACAAGAAUGUGAUAGACACAUGAAAGAAUUUUCAUACAUCAUAAAGCCAUGACAGAUUUGUGAUAGAGUUUUUAUAUAUUAGAUAAACAUGAUAGCAUAUUAAUAUUUAAUCAAACCGUGAGUUUCAGAUGGAAUUAAUUUGGGCAUGAAAGACACCGUUUAACAGAUUUAAAAAAAUUUUAAAACAAAAAUAUUUAUUUAACAUUUAAAUGCUAUCAUUUAACUAUAUUGACUAAACCACAAAAAAAUUAAGUGUUGGCACCUUUGACUUAUCACUUCAUCGGCAAGGGCUGAGAAACCAAAGCACUGAAACCCCUCAAAAUCUAAAAUUAACCUAUUUUAAUCUACAAAUUGGUUUUAAAACCCAUUGCAUGGAAACCAAAAUCAUAGUAUAUGCUAUUGAACGAGCCUUCGCGUCCUUAUUUUGAACCCCCAUUAUUUUGAACCCAUUGGUUUUAGGCACAAAAUCACCACAUACGCUCAUUGUUGCGCCUUCGCGUCCAUUAUUGAAGCCAUCGGUGUCACUACUGAAAUACUAACUAGGCAACCCAAGAGGGGGGGUGAAUUGGGUUUUUAUAAAUUAAGCUAAGCAAACACACAACAAUCCAAUCUAAUGCCUUAAUAAAUUUGAAAACAAUAAAUUCAAUGAAAGCACAAUAAUAAAUGAGCAAGGGAAGAGAAAGCAAACUCAAGGAUUUUUACGUGGUUCGGCAAUCCCCGCAUACGUCAACGCCUCCAAGCACACCGGGCUUGAGGAUUUCACUAUCCGAGCCUUUCCAAGGCUUCAAUAGUUUACAAUUGACUUCAAGAUGUCAAUGAACCUUUACAACAAGAGAUUAUCUCUCCAAUCUCUUCACCCCAAGUGUUUCUCACACUUGUACACUCACAAUUUGAUGAGAAAUGAAAAUUACAUCAAUGAAACUCUCUUUAAGAGUGGAUAUACAAAUUGAAGAACAAAGGUGAUUUAAUAAAUGAUGAUUUACGAAAUUGAAGCUCAAUAUAUGUUGUGUGCACUUGUUUUUGCUUGCCAAGAUUACCAAAAAUGAAUUGGUUUUGAGUUUAUAUAGUUUGAGCUAAAAAACUAGCCGUUAUGCACAUUUUGGUCAUAACCGGCUUACCGUUUAUGGACAUCCGAUUAGCCGCUUAAUGUUACCGUUAUAGCCACAAUUUUGAAUUUCUGAACAUCCGGUAUGCCGCUUGUGAAAUCCGGUUAGCCAUUUAAGCUCCAGAAGCUUACUGCCCAACAACCGGAUUACCGUUUGUCAGGAUCCGGUUAGCCGCUUUCAAUUCGGAUAGAUUCUGCCCAACAUCCGGUUUGUCCUCAAAACUUUAUAAAACUAUAUUAUGGCCCAAAACGUUAUGAAAGCUUUCAAAUAGGUCCAAUUUCAGAAUUUUUAAAGAAUGCUUUGUCAAUCCCAAAACUUUCUGAAAUUAUGAUUUCACCCAAACUAUGUGAAAUUAUAGAAUGACCCAAAAUAUUUAAAUAAUUUCAAAUAGGUCCAAAUCCGAAAUUUUAAAAACAAUAUCAAAGGUUUUAAAAUACUUUCAUUUUAGUCCAAAACACUUUAAUUCCAUAACAUCAUUUUUCCAUUAAAUAUGAAACCUUUAUAAUUUGAAAAUAAUGAUUUAUUUAAAAAAUAAUAAUUUGAGCUUAAAAGAUUAAUCAUUCUUAAUCUUGUUUGUUAGCAUCAAAAUCAACAUUAUGGAAACAUAUAUGUUAACAAUCUCCCCCUUUUUGAUGAUGACAAACAUUUCAUGUAUUUAAAGAAUGAUUCCACAAAUUGCUCCCCCUAAAUAUAAUAUUCUCUUACAAUUUGCCAAUUAGCUAAAUUAACAUAUUUAAAUACAUAGAUUUUUCUCCCCCUUCAUCAUAAAAAAGAAAACUUAAUUGGCAAAGAAAAAGAGUAGUAAAUUUUUAUAAAUUUAAAAAUAUGUCUUCUUCUCCCCCUUCAUCAUCAAAAAGAAAACUUAAAGGAAAAGAAUAAGAGUAGCAAAUUCAUUACUCAUGUUUGUCCGAGUAGAAAUUUCAACACAUUCUCCCCCUAACAACAAGCAUUACCUCAAAUACAAGUUUAGUAAUAUUACUCCCAAAUUAUUAUAAAUCAUGAUACAAGCCAACUCCAUACACAAAUCAUCACACCAAAAUAUCAUGAACCAUUAUUCUAUUAAUUACCAAAUCAACAACUCAUAACAUAAAAUUAUCAUAUAAAACAACUCAUAACAUUAUUCUUUUUGGGUGAAAUUCUAUAAUACAAUAGAGGUAUCAUAUCAAUUCCCAACAAACAAAUAAUUUGAUGACAUAUGUGCUUUUAUUUUAGAAAAUCUCCAUGUAAGCGUGAUUAAAUUAAUUUAAUUAAACAUAUCAUGCAUGCAUUAACUAAUUUUGUUAUUUCUAAUGUAUUCUAGAAUUUGUCGUUAGCUUUUUUAGAAAACAACAUAAUAAUAAGGUUACGUAAAGAUUCAUAUGUGGCUGCAUAUGAUCAUUACAAAAAUAUACUAUUUGGUGUAGAGAAUAUUGUCUUCCUCUCACAAUAAAUCAAACAAAUUAGGUUUGAAUAUGAUUUAUUCAAAUUUUAGAGUUUUCUUUUUAUUAUUAACAAAAUAGGUUAUCUAGUGGUGGAGAUGGUGUUGGCCUAGCCCAUCAAUGAAAGGCCCAUCCAUACUCAUACUCGUACCUUACCAUGCCCACCCUGUAUUUCAUGCCGUCCUAGGUCGUGCCUUUUUUUUUUUUUUACUUAGACCCAGCCCAACACACAUACCGUAUCAUAAGUCGUUUUGUGUCAUGCUUAAGAAAAAAAGCACGAUAAGCUUUUUUUUUUUUUAAGAGGACAUACCAAAUUGUUGGCCUACUUUUUUCUAACCUUUAUACUUUUUUAUGUUCAUGUGCCUUUUCUCAAAUUCAAUAGAAUAAAAAAUUCAAAACUUAAUUUCAUAUUCAAUAAUAAUAAAUUAUUAAUAUUAAGAGAAUAUAAUAUUAGUUUUUAAGUGAGACCUUACGGUAUUAAAAUUCUUUUUAACUACUUAACAACAACAACAACAAUAAUAAUUUUUUUAAGGGUUAACUUAAUUGUUAAACUAGAUUUACAUAGAGUUAUAAAUCAUAGUCGAUAAUAACAUUAAUACAUAUUUAUAAAAUCAUAAUAUUUAUAAUUUUAUUUAUUAAAAUUAAUGAUAUCAAUUAUUUAUUCAAUAAAUUAUAAAUAUAAAUUAAUUAAAAGAUUCUUUUGAAACUAAGAACUAAAUAAUUUAAAAAACUUACACUAAUAAAAUAUAUUAAAAUAUUCAAUUUUAAGUUAUUGAAUUAAUAGUAUAUGACCGCAACACCUUCAAACUGGCCAACAACAUAUUAAAUAUUAAAACAUUAUCUCCCUCGUCAUUGAUCGAGACAUUCAAUUGCAUGCAUUUACUUUACCUUAGAUGGUAUUUUCUGAGACGAAAAUAUAAGUGGUUGUGCAAGGAUUGAAUAGCGAAUUGCCUUUAUUUCACUCGGCAAUUAAAUAAAUAAUUUAAUAAAAAACCUCUUCUUCUUAAUUCUAACAGGGGUGUCUUCAAUUUUGGUUUUAUAUAGCGUGGUGUCUCAAUUUUUCAGCCACUGCAAGCUAGCUCCAUGGCGCUCCCUAUUCCUCUAUCUUUAUUAUUUAUUAAUAAACUAAUCAUCGAUCUCAGGGAGCUUCUCUUAGUGCUUGCUUUAAACAAAAAUAAAAAGAAAAAAGAAGUUGCGUGUUGGAAGCAAAGUGUUCGUGCAAAUCUUUGACAUUACAAAAGUAGCUGGCUUUGGCUAUUAUUAAUUUAUUAGGCAUCAAGUACAACCAUUUACAGCAUUAGUUAUAAUGAGGCACCGCCAGUUAGUUGACUUCACAGUAGUAACUUAAAAAUGGUGACAACUCACCAUGUACGUAAUGUGUUCUACCAGAGCUGUGUUCCGCAAGCCAUAGUUCUGAAUGAAAAUCGAACCUAUAACAUUUGUGCUAAAGUAUUGGUCAAAUGUAGGCUUGGCAUGAACCAAGAAUUGAGCUAGCAAACUCUAGAAGCAUCACAACCUUUGCUGUCAUCUUUACUACUCUUCUAAAAUUUUUCUGCAACUUAAACCUAAUUCUCUGUCACUGAAAUUAAAUUUGAGAUAACAAUCCACUUCCAGUUUUAGAAUUGUGGUCCCUUAUACUUAAUUUAUCUACUUGUGUCUGAUUUAUUUUUUCAUUUGUUCGUCAUCCCCACUACAAGAAAAAUAGGAUAUAACAACAAGAAUGUAGCCGCUGUUAAAAAGUAUUAGAAGUAUAGAUUUUACAACAUGAAAUCAAAAAGUAAUGGGUAUGAUUCGUGAUCUAUGAUUGAGUUGGUGGGUUGAGUAAAUAUAUAGCUUCUAAACUUUUAUCUUUGUUGGGUUCUAGUUUAAUAGCAAGAUUUGUCAUUAAAUUUGGGACUUAUUUCAAGCAAUAAUUUAUAGUUAAUACUUUUAGUAUUAAAAGUAUAGAUUUUCUUGACCUCCUAUAAAUCUUUAUCUUUCUAAUUGUGAGUUUUUAUUUCAUACACGCAUGCAAAUGAACACGAUAACUAAUUAUUUAUAAUGGUCGUUAAAAAUGUUUUGAUAUUAAUUCCUUUCCUCUGCUAAAAAAUUUCAACUUCAAUUCAAUUUUCGCUCAAUUUUCAGAAAUUGAUGAUUCAAGAGACUGAGAGAGAGAUAAAUCAUAGAAUAAAAGAACUUUUUGUUAUUUUUGUUUUUUAAUAAUGAUAAAUUCAGAAAUAAAGGAGAUUAAUUGAAAAUUAAGGACCACUGAAAUAAAUACAUGGGGUCAAAUAUCACUACUCUCACAAAACUGUUUUGGCAUGAGAAGUCAAAAUACACGACACACAUAGAAUUUACUACUCAUUACACAACGAGUUAAUUUUAUUUAGCCAUGAGCCCAGUUAUAAUCAUUGGGUCUAAUAAGCGGAAUAAAAAUAACAAGUUGGAUCUUUGUGUAGAUAUCUUGGAUCUUUGUGUAAAUAUCUUUUUUUUUUAAUUUAAAAUUAGAUAUAUCAUCAAGCUUAUUCAUCGGGGCUUUAUUACAUUUCCUUUUAUUUUCAAUAAUUAAUUUGUCAUCUAAUUGGUCAAUAAAUUUGCUUCUUGUUUGUCCACAGUCCAGUACACUAACAUAGAUGCUGUUCAUUAGAAGCAGAAACAGAGCUGUAACAGAGAAGAAAAUAGCUGUAAAAUUAUUUCUUAGGUUUUGAGAUAGGAAUGACGAACCAAAGUUAAAUUGGCCAUAUCAUUCAAGUGUCACCAUUAGCUUGGAUGCUUGUAAAGAUGAUUUGGACCCAUAGUUUUUGCAUAAAAACCUUUGUUAUCUUUACUUUUGUUGUCAAAAUUAUUAUUACAAUUUUCUUAAUGGUAGAAAUAGAACCUAAUCCCUCACAAUUAUAAUUUAAUAAUAUGUUAAUUACCAAACACUAUUAUUUUUCUAUUCAUACCUAGUAGUGAUUUAAAUUUGAAAAGCGACAAAACCAGCAACCAAUUUUCAAUACAUAAUAGACCAAUCUAUAUUUUUAUUUUUUAAGGAGAAAUGUAAGGAUCCAUAAAAAAAAAAAACCACCAACAUUACAAUGACAGAAUUAGAAACGAAAAUCACAACAACAUUAUAAUUGCAUUCAGUUUCUACGUCUCCUCCUCCUCCUUGUUGCCUUUUGCUGCGUUCCCAACUUCUCCAGAAUCCAUCCGAUAAUUCCAGUGCUGAAGUUGCACCCGAGAACCAAUCCUGCCACAAGCCCGCCCGCAUAGCCAGUCAGAAUGAUUUUCCAAUCAGAUGCGCUUGAAAACAGAGACUCCUCCGAGCCUUCAUUAUGAUCUUCAUUUGUUGGAGCUUCAUCACUCUCACAUCCUUUGGACAAAGGCCUUCCGCACAAUCCUGAGUUGCCGUCGAAAGAAGUGUUGUCAAAUGUAGCAAAUUGCUUUCCUUGUGGUAUGGGUCCUGUAAGGUAAUUGUCCGAGACAUUGAAGAAUUCGAGAAAUGUGAGCUCAACCAGUUGUUGAGGAAUCCGUCCUGAAAACUUGUUAUCUGAGAGAUCCAAUGAUUCCAAAUUUGUUAGAUUGCCCAAACAUGACGGAAUAUGGCCUUGGAGAUUAUUGUUGUGGAGGUUUAAAACUUGAAGUCCCUUUAAAUUCGCAAUCGAUGCUGGAAUAGCCCCAUCGAAUCUAUUGUUUGAAAGAAUAAUGCCCGCGAGGAUAUCAGGAAUCUUCUUAUAUGUCAUCAUUCGCCCUUUGCUGUUCAUUGUCAUUGAGUAGUCGUAAGUGCUAACUACAUUAUUGGACACUUGUCCAUACGGAAAAAGCACAUCUUGCAGAUAUCUUAGCUCACUUGUAUUGACAAUUUUCAUGGCAUUCCAACACAGGAAGCUCUUUGAUGGAAGCGUUCCAGUAAAUCUGUUGUUAGAUAGGUCAAUAAUGCGGAGUUUAGAAAAUCCACAAUCAGUUCUGGGUUCUUCUAUAAUGCCGUAAAAUAUGUUGGAUCGUAGGAUGAGAACAUUCAAGUUUGGAAGAGUUCCUAACCAAGAGGGAAAAGUGUCACUAAUCUGGUUGUUCCCAAGACCAAGAAAUUCCAACUUUGAACAGUUGAUCAAUGAUCUUGGAAUUCUUCCCUGGAACAGAUUAUGGCUUAAAUCAAUCACGCUUAAUCUACUUUCUUUAAUGAAAGUAUUUGGGAUGGUCCCAAAGAAGUUGUUCCCCCGCAAGUCGAGCACCGAAAGUUCAUCACUGAAAUUGCUUAAACACUGAGGAAGCAAGCCACUUAAGUUAUUGUGAGACAAAACAAGGCUUUUAAGAAAAUUCAAAUUGCAUAUCCACGAUGGAAUUUCCCCUGUUAAGCUAUUGUUUGACGCUAGAUAGUUAAUGGUUCCAGGGGGUGGAACGGGGAGUGGUCCUUGUAAAUUAUUAGAGCUAAGAUCAAAAGUUACCAAACCACCUUUAUUCCCUGGAAGAAAAACAGGAUGCUGAUCAAACCCGGUUAACAAGUUAUGCGAAAGGUUCAAGCCAAUGAGAUUCUGCAUAUUGGGGUCUAACAACCAUUUAGGUACUUUUCCCCGAAUUCUAUUGUCAGAAAGGUCCAAGACCACCAAAUGAUGUUGGCUUUCCAAGAAAUUUGGAAAUUUAGUAAGAUUGCAUGAACGCAAUUUUAUAUACUGAUGUUUCUUUGAAGUGGUAUUAGAAGUGGCUUUGGUGAGCACUGACAACCUAUUAGAUGAGAGACUUAAAUGUUCCAAAUUUUUCCAGCUAGUAAGUAAAACAUCUAACUCUAUCAUUCCGCUAUAAGAAUUUCGAGCCAUGUCAAGGACGAUAAGUUGGGUAAGAUUCCUAAGUGAAGAUGUAAUUUGACCUGAAAAAUUACACUUAGGGAUAUGUAUUACUUCCAAUGACCUAAGAUUUCCAAUGGAACCAAGUAAGUCACCCGAAAAACUAUUCAAUCCAGGAUACAAAAAUUGUAGCCGGGUGAAAUUACCAAUCGAAUGUGGAACUUUGCCCCAAAAACUACAUGACCUCAGAUCUAAUAACUUCAAAGAACUAAAAUUUCCAGUCGACCAUGGAAACUCACCCGAAAAUUUAUUGAAUGAAAGGUCAAGUUUUUCCAAAGAAAAAAGAUUUCGAAUGGAAGUAGGCAACUCACCAAAAAAUGCAUUGUGUGAAAGGUCAAGUUCUUUCAAAGAACCAAGAUUUCCCAUGGAAAUAGGCAACUCACCAAAAAAUCUAUUUUGUGAAAGAUCAAGUUCUUUCAAAGAACUAAGAUUUCCAAUGGAAAUAGGCCACUCACUCGACAAAAAAUUUGCAGAGAGAUCUAGUUCUUUCAAUGAAUGAAGAUUACCAACGGAAACAGGCAGCUCACCCUGUAAUUCAUUUAGUGAAAGGUCUAAAUGAAGGAGCUUCGAUAGAUUACCGAGUGAAGAUGGAAUUCUUCCUGAAAUUUGUAUUAAAAAAAAAAGAACACAUUGCUUAAGUAGAAAAUUAAAAAUAAUAAUAAUUUUUUCAAAUGAAUUUAACAUCGCAAUUGGCAAUUUUCGAGUAAAAUAUAUAUAUUUAACAAUAACAUGCAUGUAUAUUAAUUAAGGAGAAAAUAUAUAAAAUUUAAUUACCUUGCAAUUCACAGUUUCGAAGAGAAACAAAUGUCAAAGAAGAUAGAUUUCCGAUGUUAUGAGGUAUUGUUGAAUCAAUAGAAACAUCACCAAGGUCAAGUGUUUUUAGAUUGGUUAAUUUCUCGACUAAAUUUGUGAAACUGGGCUUCUGGAGUUCAAGUCUACCACCAGGAACAUCAUUUAGUGAUAAAUCAAGGGACACCAAGUUGGAGAGCUUUAGAAUUUCUGAUGGUAUUUGACCAGAUAAAGAAGUUCCAGAGAGGUUCAAGUAUGAUAACCUGGAAAGGUUGAUGAUUUCUGGUGGGAUUUCGGAGGAAUUGAAGUCAUUCAAAGCAAGAUUAAGCCACUCGAGAUGGACAAGCUUGAAAAGGCUGCUGCUAGAGUCGAUAGAACCAAAAAGGCAGCUAUGGGAGAGGUCAAGCUUGAUGACAUGACCAGUGUUCUUAUUGCAAUGAACGCCGUCCCAAGAGCAGCAAUCAACGCUACCUUCUUCUGGCUUCCAUGAUGCCAUUGUAGGACGACAGUCAAAUUUCCAAGCAUAAAAAUCACCACUGAUGCGGCUUUCUUUGAAUUGCAACAAAGCGGAGCGCUCAUCAUCAUGGCAGAGUGGCAGCAUAGAAGAAGCAGUGACGUUAGCAAUUGUGAAAUUCAAGAAAAAGAAGGGAAAAACUAACAGUAUGAACAUUGUGAAUAAACAUAUGGAGGAUAAACCCAUAGUUUUCUCAAAAAUAAAAUUUGUUUAACUUUGUCGAUGUGAAGAAAUUUGAGGAUCUUGGUUUGCUUUUAUAGGCAAAUUGCAGCAAUUCAAACAUUAUAGUCAUUGGACUCUUUUUUUAUUUUCUUAAGUCAACAAAAGUGUUAGGAAAUUGAGCUUCCUCCCAAGAUCUCUCCAAGCAAUUUAUCAAGCAACAAAUUAAUAAGAAAAAUUAAAUGGAGAAUACACCAAUCACACAACACAAGAUUUACGUGGAAAACUCCAAAUCCGGAGAAAAACCACGGCCGUUGUCACAAGACAACCAGAGAAAAAUAUUCACUAUGUGGAAAAUUAUUAUAACCACUUUCAGAAAUAAUUUUUCUCUCACCCAAGCCCCAAAUACAUAAUCCCGAGAAAUAUCCCUUAACAAAGCAAACCCGUAAUACCCAUAUUGAGGAGCCAACUUCUCCUUCAAUAUAACUACAUGCUUAAGAACAUUUCUCUCUCUCAAUUUCUCACCAAAACUUGGAUUCCUUCUCUGGGAUUUGGGAUACAAACAAUAAGGAGGAGCACUCCUCUAUUUAUAGCCACCAGUGACUACUGUUCAUCUUGCGGCUACUGUUCAUCUUGCGGCUACUGUUCAUCUUACGGCUACUGUUCAUUUUGCGGCUACUGUUCAUUUUGCGGUUUUGCUUUUCUUCAUUCUCCCAUUGGAGACUUGAUUUUUCAACUCUUUUUUUUUAAUCAAUUUUCAACAAAAAGUUAGUCUUAAUAAUAUUUAUUUUUUAUUAUUUGAUGUGAUGUCGUAAACUUUUACCAUUCCGUCACCACCGAAAAUACGUUUAUAGCAAACGUGAGGAUUAAUUCAUGAGUAAAUGAGUAAUACAUUCAUUUUUAUUUUUGUUUGAAAAAAUGAAAAACAUAAUUCCGAAGUGGUCCAGACCACUUGAAAUUUAAAAAAAAAUUGAUAAAUAUUAUUUGGAUAUGAUAUCAGCUCAAAAUUCAAACAAAUCUUACAAACAACUGGCGAUAAAUGGUGAAUUCCAUUCCUUAACCGAGGUUUAUUAAAUUAAAAAAAAAAGUGAAAAAAGAUGAUAAUUAAAUUAAUUUUAAUGCAAACAAAGUCAUAAUAGUAGAAGUGACAAUUUCGGCACGAUUAACUAAUUAAUCAGACACAAACACAAGAUAAAUUAAUGAAUUUGGAUUUACUAAAAUUGACAUGAUUUUCAGAGACUCGAGACUAGUAAUUAGAAGUCUUUGCACGCUCUGUACAUAUGCCGUGUCAGAAAAUUAUUUCUUAGUUUUUAACAUAAGAAUGACGAAAGAGUGAUGUAUUUUUGGACACUGUUCUAAGUCAGCUAAAAUUAAAAUUGGCCAUUUAUCAUUAUAAUGGAUGUUAAGAUAAUUUGAACUCAUAGUUGUUGAUAAAAAAAAUUGUUAAAAUUAGGUGUUAAUCCGACACAAACCCCUGAAAAAUUAAUGAAAUUUGGAUUUACUAAAAUUAAAAAUAUUUCAUUUUAUAGUGUCGGCUUCACUAUAAGUCGUCAUAAAUCAUUAUCAACAGACGAUCAAGGCUCGAUGAAGACUCAAGACUAGAAUUAGAAGUCUUCGAGAAUCAAUCAAUCUUAGGUGAUGGCAAGCUCGAUUUCAGUCAAGUGGUUUAGGUCUUUGCAUGUUCUAUGCAUAUGCCGUGUCAGAAAAUUAUUUUUUAGUUUCUUAGACAGGAAUGAGGAAGGAGAGAUGUAAAUAUGAACGCCGUUCUAAGACAACUAAAGUUGAAUUCCCCAUAUCAUUAUAAUGGAUGGAUGUUAAUAUUGCUAAUUUGGAGUCAAAAACAUGCGUGUAUUGCAUGUGUAUUGUCUGUAUGACUAGGACGUGGCAAAGGCUCAUGGAAUAAAUCUGCUUCUUUUUUCUCCUUUCCCCACCACCACCAGUUCACUUAACUUUUCUUUCACGGCAUGCUGAAUGAGAUCUUCUACUCCGUCAGUGCAUUUUGUUAGUAAUAUGCCCUAAAGGCCAAUCGAAUGGUGUUUGUUUGUUUAAGGAAUUAUUGUAUUUGAAUAACAUUUUGAUAUUUAUAAAAUGGCAAAGUUAUCAACAUUCAUAAAUUAAUUUAAUGAAUAUAGUUCAAGAAGUAAAAUAGUUAAGGAACACAUUCUCGAGUUUGUCGAGAAUAUGAAACGUGCAUCCUUUGUACUAUACUUCCAAAAUAGUUCCUAGUGGUGGAUUUAUGAUUGGACAUUAUAAAUUCCUAUAAACACUAGUAUGUGUUAUGACUCCUUAUGGUAUGUGAUACUAAAAUGGAUGGUGAGUUUCAUAUCAUUGACAUGAGAUGUCAAGUCAAACACAUAGGUACUUGUUGAGAGAACGAGUUUACUGAACUUGACCAAAUAUAGUAAGCCAUAUGGUUUUGAGUGUUAAUGGCUUAUUAUACAUUGUGAUAGACACUAUGUUUAGUAAUGGUCUUUAGACCUGAGACAUAAUAGAUGUCUUAUACAUAGAUAUCUCUGAUAUGUGAAAGCAUAAUGAUUGAUUCCUAAUCAAGGAAGAGAUCUAGCAAUAACUGUCAUGGUUGGCUAUGUAUGGAGACAAGUGUAUGGCCAAUAUGGAAUUCAUCACUUUGUAAUAUACAAAAAGGAUGUCCCUGUGAGAUAAUAUGAAUUGGCAUGAGAAAUCCUUGGCCAAGGUGAAAUAUGUUUGAAGGAGUUCAAAUUAUAUUUUCAUGCCAAGUUCAUUUAGAUUUAUUUUGAGAUAAAGCAUAACUGCUUAACAUAAUAAACUGUAAGGCGUGCUUUUCUCUGGACAUGGAUGAUGAAGAGACCAAGAGAGACCAAGACAUAGGGAUACAAUGGAAAAGGUUCUAUAGAUCCAACAAUUCUUGUUAUUUGGAUGGUUGUGAAAUACUGCUAGGUGUCACUCAUGACUUGUAGAAACCUUAAGAUUAAUAUUGGUAAAGCGUAUUAGCAAUGCAUCUUAAGGUCAUUAGAAAAGUUCUAUUUGAUGACUAAAGGGUUUAGCAUCAUUUAAUGCAUAAAGAGUUAUCAGUAAAAUAGUUCUACUACCUUAUAACAAAGAACCUAAAAAGUCACACACCAAAUAGAAAUGAAAAAAGGAGUUACUAGAAAAUGAGAAGUUAAAUUUCCUAAUUUUAGGAAAAUCGAUAUUUAUAUUAUAAUUCAUUAAGAAUGAAUAUAUAUAUAUAUAUAAAUAUAUCUUAAAUAUGAUUUAAGAUAGAAAUUUAGAUGUUCCGUAAAUAGUUUAAGGAACAAAAUAAAUUUCAUAAAUCCUCAAUUAAACAUUAUGUAUAAUAUCAAGCACGUAAAAUGACCAUUUUGGACAUGUUCCGAUUCAUAUAUGAUUAUGGACUUCUAGACCAAUUUUGGGUUUAGAAUUUUGGGCUUUUAUUGGACCUAAUAUGGAUUAAGAGAAAGCAUUAAAACAUGUCACAAAAGAAGCCCACAUUUAACCAUUUGAUUUGAUCAAAAUGGGAUUAAUUAAUUAAAGAUAAACUUAAUUAAUUUAGUUAUUUAUUUAUUUGAUUAAAUAAAUUAUUGAAGUGAUAAGAUCACAUUCAAUAAAUAAUGGCUUAGUGGGUGGGUCUAGCACAUGAUAAUGUUUGGUGCCAUUAUUAAAGAUAGUGGUGGCUUUAUUUGGUGGAAUGAAUCAUCAUGAACUAGCAUUCAUGUUCCUCAUUAUCACUCUCAUUUCUAAACGAAAUUUCGUGAUUCCCAAAUCCUAUGAACUCCUAGAACAUUUCUAAGUGUGGACUAACUAGAGGCAUCACAAUUGGGGUGCUUUAAGGAUCUCAAAUCGUGGCAAAACAGAAGCUGUUCGUUCAGAGGUUUAUUUUCUGGACAGUGUUCGUAGCUUGCUGUUGUCAGUCAUUUUCUCCUACUUCACGAAGUCUUUUUUGAAACUACAAGUGAGGUAAUUAAACUUCAAUCUUUCCUCUUGAUUUUCGUUUUUGAAUGAAGCCGAUCCGAGGUUUCUAGAGCUUCCGCCAUCCGUUUUAAUUUCACUGCACAAAAGUUGCGUUUUAAGGAACCUCAUGGACAAAUGUUGUCCUACACAUUUAGGAUUAGAUUUCUAAUUUGUCCGAUGUCUCUGCAUUUUCUUGAACUCUCUGACUCUCCUCGUGUAAUUAAGGAGGAUUAAAGUAAAAGAAAAGGGUAGAACCAGUUAUCCCUAAUUGUUGCACUAGCUAUCAGAUUUCCAUAUUAUAGUAAUUAUUGGCCAAAAACAUAAUUUUUUAUUUAAAUUGUCAAAAAGACUUGAAUGUUCUCAUCCUAAAAUAAGUUCCAUUAAAACAAUCAUAAUAUUUAUGGAAUGUUUAUAACUAGAAUGAGUGCUCCUACUUAAACCAGUAAAAUCUCUUGAACUAAUUUAAAGGUUCAAUCCUGCUCACAUAGUCACAUGAGUAAGAAAAAGGUAUUUGUUUUAAAUUUUAUUGUAUUGAAUUUCUCACUUUCAAUACUUCUACGUAAUUAUUACGAUUUCAUCAAGUUUACGAUGUUAAUGAUCAAACAGUACAGUUUCUAAACUAACUAAAAUAGUACCUAACUAGCUAAUUAGAUAACGGAUUAAUGGAAUAGAUGUGGAUGUCUAGUUUUACAGUUUGAAUUUUUUUUUUAAAAUUAAUCAAAGAAAACAUAUUUUUAAUUUUGGGUUAUUGUACUAUUAAUUAAUAAUUUAAUUAAAAAAUUUAUUUAUUUGCUUUCAUUCUAGUUGUUGAAAAUGCCUUUAAUAGGGGUUGGCUCAAUAUUUGGUUAGAGUCGCUCAUUUAUAGUGUGUUUACUUCAAGGAAUGGGAAUGGGCUGUAAUAGGAAUAUGUUGGAAUGUCAUUAAUGUGUUUACUUGGCAAAAUAAAUGCGAAUGAAAAAAGGGAAUGAGAAUCAAUUUACCAAAAUACCCAUAGUAUUAAUAAUUAAUAAAAAUAAUUAAUUUAUCAUUAUUAACAAUAUUAUCAUUAUUGUUGUUGUUGUUGUUGUUGUUGUUGUUGUUGUUGUUGUUGUUGUUGUUGUUGUUGUUGUUGUUGCUAUUAUUAUUAUUAUUAUUAUUAUUAUUAUUAUUAUUAUUAUUAUUAUUAUUAUUAUUAUUAAAAAUAAUAUUAACAAUAAUUAAUAACAACUAAAAUAUUAUUAUUAUUAUUAAAUUUUAUUAACUUUAUUAUUUUAGUUAUUAUUAAUUAUUGUUAAUAUUAUUUUUAUUAAUAUUAUCAUUAUUAACAUUUAUUAUUAUUAUUAUUAAAUUUUAUUAACUUUAUUAUUUUAGUUACUAUUAAUUAUUGUUAAUAUUAUAUUUAUUAAUAUUAUCAUUAUUAAAAUUUAUUAUUAUUAUUUAAUUAAUAUCACUUUUAUAUCUAGAUAAUGAAAAUUACAUUAUUAUUAUUAUUAAAUUUUAUUAACUUUAUUAUUUUAGUUAUUAUUAAUUAUUGUUAUUAUUAUUUUUAAUAAUAAUACUAAUAACAACAACAACAAUAAUGAUAAUGUUGUUAAUAAUGAUAAAUUAAUUAUUAUUUUUAUCAUAAUUUUUAUUGUUAAUAAUGAUAAUAUUAAUAUUAAUAAAAAUAACAAUAAAAAUAAUUAAUAAUAACUAAAAUAAUAAAGUUAAUAAAAUUUAAUAAUAAUAAUUAUUAUUAAUGGCAUUUAAAAUAAUAAAAUUAAUUGUGAUUUGAAUGAGGGUAAUUUGGAAAAUAUGAAAAAAUUAGAGGGAUACAAAAGUAAACAUAUAUUCCAUUCUCAUUCUUUCAUUUUCAUUCACAACCCCCCAUGGGAAUGUGAUUCCCAUUCCUUAUUCUCAAAUUGUGUGGGACCCACACAUUUUAUUCUCAUUCCCAAAUUACAUUUUACCAAGUAAACAUAUGUUUCAUUCUUAUUCCCCAUUCUAUGAAGUAAACACACCAUUAAUGCUGGCGGUCCAACUCCUUCUCUUCAUCCCACUUUGAUCAUUUGCAAGUAUCUGUAGUCAAACUUGGGUCUUCAAUGUACUCAUCCCUUGGUAGGAUUUCUCUCCUUCAAAGAUUAACGCUCUUUCUUCUCGAGAUGCAAAUGGCUUUUCAAAUUAUCAUUUUUGUUAUUGUAGGUCCUACAUCAUGGUUUCUUAAGAUUUUACAUCAUCUUAGCUUUAUGCAUUUAAUGAGUAAGAUUUUAUAUCAUCUUAGCUUUAUGCAUUUAAUGAGGGAUAAGUUUUACAAUAUCCCAUAAUUAAUUGUGUUAAGUUUAUUAUUUAUAGAGUUGACAUCUUAUGGCAAGUCUAGUGGCAAGUCUAGUAAAUUGAAAUUUUAUUUACUGAAUAUCAUGUAAUAGGGUUUAAGUUAUUAAAUUCCUAGCUAAUUUAGUGAAAUUCCAAUUGAUUAGGAAUAUUGUGUCCUAGUUUAAUUAGAUGUCUAAUUUAGCAAGUCAAUUAGUGACAUGAUUUUAUAAUUGGUGAGUAGGAUUUAUUUAGCGGAAGAAGUUAGUUUAAACAGAAAGUUCAUUAAAUGUCUAGAUAUUUCUUAGGAGACAAGCAAGGUAAGCAUAUCAUAUUUAUUACUAUUCAGAUUUAUAGGAAUUAUAAUAAGAAAGAAACUCUUAUUUGGAAAGAAUCAUAGUCCUUCAACUACAGUCUUAAUAAAUUGUUUCACAUCAGCCUCAUACUCAUCAAACAAUAUAUCAUAUUUAAGCCAAGAUUUAUCCAUUUUUUGUUUAGUAGCUGACAUAUAGUUGAGACAAAUUUCAACAUAAUGUACUAAUGGGCAGCAAUGAUAAACGGUUUCCAUUAUCAAUAAAUUAAGCAACAAAACAUUAUUAAUAUUCAGUUUAUAAAUUUAAUGAAAUAAAUGAAUUUAAAACAAAAACUUGUUAUCAUGUGCAACAAAUAUAACUUCACCAACCUGCUGUCAUCGUUUACCAAAACCUCUAACUAACAAUACCCACUAAUAAUAUCCUUAAUAAUUUAGCCCACAUACAUUUAACAUUUAUUUUAAAAAAAUUCUAACAAUCCAGCAUUUCAUGGGCCACAAGGCUAUAUAUAUAUAAGCAACUAGACAUUCCUUGGUCCACAUGACCAAACUUGCCGCUUCUGAAAAUGCAUUCUGGUAGCAGCUCUAGUUCUUCUCACGGUACAAGUAUGCGUACUCAUGGUAACAGCAAAUCCAAAUGCUGACAAUAGAAAUGCAGCAAGAAGGAUGCUCCUCUUCCCAAUCAACGAAAAAGUAUUGUCAUUCAUUAUGUGAAAAAUUUUACGAUCAGAAAUUGGAGGCCAAUUGUAUGCGAAACUCUGAUAUUUUACCUCGAUCUAUCCAAAUCCAAACAGGAAAAUGAAUACUUGAGCAAUAUUCAAAUGUCGAAAGAGCAUAUUUUCAAAAUUAAGUGAGGAAAAAAAAUUUCUGCAUCAAUUAUCAUCAACGGGUUCUUGAUGUUGAGCAAUAUGCUGAGUCAUCAACCACGUCAGCAGUCAGUUAUGGAGGCUGUUGCAAUAUGUUGAGCACAUUGAAUCACAAUCAAGCAAUAGCCCAAAGUCCAAACCUACCAUGGCUAAUGGUGUUGUUCAGUAAUACACAUUCUCACGUUUAAGAAUCGAACUUAGUAUAUAUAUGAACUCCCACUAUUAAUUAGCCAGCAUAUACAUAGAAUUCGAUUCAGCCAUAGAUAUCGAUUGAAUGAGACACAACUGUAUUUCACAUUAACAUUCACGAAUUAAGACUUUGUAAGAGACGUAAGUACGUACGCUAUUAUUCUUUGUCACUUUCAUGAAAUUUCACAUGCCUUUCUAUUUUAUAUUUACCCAAAAGUCCCAAAAAAAAAAAGUGUAUUUGAUGAUACAUACACGUCACAUGCUUAUGUGAAUUAAAUUUCAAAUAUGCCUUGUGUUAUGUUAUCUUACUCUUUCAGGCAUUGACAACAUUAUAGAACGAGGAAAGAAAUAAACUGCUGCCUGUGCUUCUUCUUGUUGAUUAAUUGUAGUGUAGCCAUCUCGUGAAGUGUGUCCCAUUCCUCCUAUUUUUGGGUGAAAUUCUAUAAUACAAUAGAGGUAUGAUAUCAAUUCCCAACAAACAAAUAAUUUGAUGACAUGUGUGUUUUUAUUUUAAAAAAUCUCCAUGUAAGUGUGAUUAAAUUAAUUUAAUUACACGCAUGCAUUAACUAAUUUUGUUAUUUCUAAUGUAUUCUAGAAUUUGUCGUUAGAUUUUUUAAAAAGCAACAUAAUAAUAAGGUUACAUAAAGAUUCAUAUGUGGCUGCAUAUGGUCAUUACAAAAAUAUACUAUUUGGUGUAGAGAAUAUUGUCUUCCUUGACAAUAAAUCAAACAAAUUAGGUUUGAAUAUGAUUUAUUCAAAUUUUAGAUUUUUCUUUUUAUUAUUAACAAAAUAGGCUAUCUAGUGGUGGAGAUGGUGUUGGCCUAGCCCAUCAAUGAAAGGCUUAUGCAUACUCAUACUCGUACCUUGCCGUGCCCACCCUGUGUUUCAUGCCGUCCUAGGUCGUGCUUUUUUUUUCUUUUUUACUUAGGCCCAGCACACGUACCGUAUCAUAAGUCGCGUUGUGUCGUGCUUAAGAAAAAAAACACGAUAAGUUUUUUUUUUUAAAGAGGGCAUACCAAAUUGUUGGCGUACUUUUUUCUAACCUUUGUACCUUUUUAUGUUCAUGUGCCUUUUGUCAAAUUCAAUAGAAUAAAAAAUUCAAAACUUAAUUUCAUAUUCAGUAAUAAUAAACUAUUAAUAUUAAGAGAAUAUAAUAUUAGUUUUUAAGUGAGACCUUACGGUAUUAGAAUUCUUUUUUACUACUUAACAACAACAACAACAAUAAUUUUUUUAAGGGUUAACUUAAUUGUUAAACUGGACUUACAUAUAGUUAUAAAUCAUAGUCGAUAAUAACAUUAAUACAUAAUUAUAAAAUCAUGAUAUUUAUAAUUUUAUUUAUUAAAAUUAAUGAUAUCAAUUAUUUAUUCAAUAAAUUAUAAAUGUAAAUCAAUUAAAAGAUUCUUUUGAAACUAAAAAUUAAAUAAUUUACAAAACUUACACUAAUAAAAUAUAUUAAAAGAUUCCAUUUUAAAUUAUUGAAUUAAUAGUAUAUGACCGCAACACCUUCAAACUCGCCAACAACAUAUUAAAUCUUAAAACAUUAUCUCCCUCGUCAUUGAUCGAGACAUUCAAUUGCAUGCAUUUACUUCAGCUUAGAUGGUAUUUUCUGAGACGAAAAUAUAAGUGGUAGUGCAAGGAUUGAAUAGCGAAUUGCCUUUAUUUCACUCGGCAAUUAAAUAAAUAAUUUAAUAAAAAAACCUCUUCUUCUUAAUUCUAACAGGGGUGUCUUCAAUUUUGGUUUUAUAUAGCGUGGUGUCUCAAUUUUUCAGCCACUGCAAGCUAGCUCCAUGGCGCUCCCUAUUCCUCUAUCUUUAUUAUUUAUUAAUAAACUAAUCAUCGAUCUCAAGGAGCUUCUCUUAGUGCUUGCUUUAAACAAAAAUAAAAAGAAAAAGAAGUUGCUUGUUGGAAGCAAAGUGUUCGUGCAAAUCUUUGACAUUACAAAAGUAGCUAGCUUUGGCUAUUAUUAAUUUAUUAGGCAUCAAAUACAACCAUUUACAGCAUUAGUUAUAAUGAGGCACCGCCAGUUAGUUGACUUCACAGUAGUAACUUAAAAAUGGUGACAACUCACAAUGUACGUAAUGUGUUCUACCAGAGCUGUGUUCUGCAGGCCAUGGUUCUGAAUGAAAAUCGAACCUAUAACAUUUGUGCUAAAGUAUUGGUCAAAUGUAGGCUUGGCAUGAACCAAGAAUUGAGCUAGCAAACUCUAGAAGCAUCACAACCUUUGCUGUCUAUCUUCACUACUCUUCUAAAACUUUUCUGCAACUUAACCUAAUUCUCUGUCACUGAAUUUAAAUUUGAGAUAACAAUCCACUUCCAGUUUUAGAAUUGUGGUCCCUUAUACUUAAUUUAUCUACUUGUGUCUGAUUUAUUUUUUCAUUUGUUCGUCAUCCCCACUACAAGAAAAAUAGGAUAUAACAACAAGAAUGUAGCCACGUUCACCAGAUGAUUGUUGUGAAAUCUACUUUUUGGCAACGUGCUUAAUUCACGCGCUGUUAAAAAGUAUUAGAAGUAUAGAUUUUACAACAUGAAAUCAAAAAGUAAUGGGUAUGAUUCGUGAUCUAUGAUUGAGUUGGUGGGUUGAGUAAAUGUAUAGCUUCUAAACUUUUAUCUUUGUUGGGUUCUAGUUUAAUAGCAAGAUUUGUCAUUAAAUUUGGGACUUAUUUCAAGCAAUAAUUUAUAGUUAAUACUUUUAGUAUUAAAAGUAUAGAUUUUCUUGACCUCCUAUAAAUCUUUAUCUUUCUAAUUGUGAGUUUUUAUUUCAUACACGCAUGCAAAUGAACACGAUAACUAAUUAUUUAUAAUGGUCGUUAAAAAUGUUUUGAUAUUAAUUCCUUUCCUCUGCUAAAAAAUUUCAACUUCAAUUCAAUUUUCGCUCAAUUUUCAGAAAUUGAUGAUUCAAGAGACUGAGAGAGAGAUAAAUCAUAGAAUAAAAUAACUUUUUGUUAUUUUUUUUUAAUAAUGAUAAAUUCAGAAAUAAAGGAGAUUAAUUGAAAAUUAAGGACCACUGAAAUAAAUACAUGGGGUCAAAUAUCACUACUCUCACAAAACUGUUUUGGCAUGAGAAGUCAAAAUACACGACACACAUAGAAUUUACUACUCAUUACACAACGAGUCAUAAAAUUCAUGUAUCAACCUAAUUUAAUUGAGGGUAUUUUAGUAAUUAUAUACGUUAAGCAUUUGUAUAUAAUUUCAAACUAUCGUGGCACGUGGAGAUAAUUAAAUAAUCAGUCACACUAGAAGGCCAAAAUCAAGGGAUUCGUCUCCUAUGGUCAAUGAUCAUAUUCGAGAGGAAAUAAUCCCUAUCUUGGAGGGCAAAGUUUUGUGCUAUAUUUAGCUCCUUAAGGAAUUUUAAAGUAACUCUUAAGAUUUCACAUUAAUUAUACAAUAAAUAAAUGAUAUUAGAACAUGUGAACAUUUAUUUUUAAGAAUAUACCUCCUCCUGAAGCCAUAAGAAUUAGAGUUGUGCCCUUUCAGAAGUCCAAGUCUAUUAAGAAAACAAUCUCAGCAGAUCCUCAAAAACCAUCAAUCGUUUAUCCCCUAGCCUCAGGAACAUGAUUCCACCAUUUUAUAUUUUAUUAUGAGUUUCUGAAAUUUAAAUCUCUUUUUUAUUUGCUUUUAUUUGGUGUUUAUAUGAUAAUUGUACGUCAGGUAAGAACAUUGUUCAUCAGCAGCUGAGAUUUUCUUAUUUUCUUUGUAUAAUCUUUCGCUUUUCUUUUUUUAAAAGAUUUGGCAUGUAAUGUAAUGAUUUAUAUAAUGGAAACUUAUGAUUUUUUUUUCUUUUUGGUAUCAGAUUGCUAGAAAAUUGAGUUGGAGCAGAAGGCGUGCUGACAAAGUCACUAAAAUUUAGUCAAUGUAUGGGUGCAAAUUUCUUAGUUUUAUAAACAGUUUGUAAAUGUUCAUUUUAAGAAUUUAAAAUGUACAUGGGUUUGCAGGCAGUAAGUGUAUAUAUGUAUAUACGUGUGUGUGUCUGUAUUCAUGUCACUUGAGAAAAGCACAUAAUUAAUUGUUGCGCAAAUUUUAAUAUAGUUGUAAAUGCAUGAGUCUACUAAAGUAUAGAAUAGGAAUAACAAGGUCGUACAUAUAAGAACCGUCAAUUUUUGGGAAAAUAAAAUUUAAUCUAAGUUAAUUAUAAUUUUACCUAGAUGGAAAGAAGAUAUUUUGUUUAAGAAAAUUAGAACUAAAUAGGCAAGAAAAUUAAGAAUUCAAGAGAUUAAUGCUACCAGUAUCUACGAAUCUAACAUAGUUCAACUUAAUCAAUUAAUUUCAAAUUUUAGAACGACAACUCAAAAUCAAUAUAUGUCUAUUGAUAAAUAUAACAAUUAAGUCAAGUGAUUUAAUUUUAUUUAGCCAUGAGCCCAGUUAUAAUCAUUGGGUCUAAUAAGCGGAAUAAAAAUAACAAGUUGGAUCUUUGUGUAGAUAUCUUGGAUCUUUGUGUAAAUAUCUUUUUUUUUUUAAUUUAAAAUUAGAUAUAUCAUCAAGCUUAUUCAUCGGGGCUUUAUUACAUUUCCUUUUAUUUUCAAUAAUUAAUUUGUCAUCUAAUUGGUCAAUAAAUUUGCUUCUUGUUUGUCCAGUACACUAACAUAGAUGCUGUUCAUUAGAAGCAGAAACAGAGCUGUAACAGAGAAGAAAAUAGCUGUAAAAUUAUUUCUUAGGUUUUGAGAUAGGAAUGACGAACCAAAGUUAAAUUGGCCAUAUCAUUCAAGUGUCACCAUUAGCUUGGAUGCUUGUAAAGAUGAUUUGGACCCAUAGUUUUUGCAUAAAAACCUUUGUUAUCUUUACUUUUGUUGUCAAAAUUAUUAGUACAAGUUUCUUAAUGGUAGAAAUAGAACCUAAUCCCUCACAAUUAUAAUUUAAUAAUAUGUUAAUUACCAAACACUAUUAUUUUUCUAUUCAUACCUAGUAGUGAUUUAAAUUUGAAAAGCGACAAAACCAGCAACCAAUUUUCAAUACAUAAUAGACCAAUCUAUAUUUUUAUUUUUUAAGGAGAAAUGUAAGGAUCCAUAAAAAAAAAAAAACCAACAACAUUACAAUGACAGAAUUAGAAUCGAAAAUCACAACAACAUUAUAAUUGCAUUCAGUUUCUACGUCUCCUCCUCCUCCUUGUUGCCUUUUGCUGCGUUCCCAACUUCUCCAGAAUCCAUCCGAUAAUUCCAGUGCUGAAGUUGCACCCGAGAACCAAUCCUGCCACAAGCCCGCCCCCAUAGCCAGUCAGAAUGAUUUUCCAAUCAGAUGCGCUUGAAAACAGAGACUCCUCCGAGCCUUCAUUAUGAUCUUCAUUUGUUGGAGCUUCAUCACUCUCACAUCCUUUGGACAAAGGCCUUCCGCACAAUCCUGAGUUGCCGUCGAAAGAAGUGUUGUCAAAUGUAGCAAAUUGCUUUCCUUGUGGUAUGGGUCCUGUAAGGUAAUUGUCCGAGACAUUGAAGAAUGCCAGAAAUGUGAGCUCAACCAGUUGUUGAGGAAUCCGUCCUGAAAUCUUGUUAUCUGAGAGAUCCAAUGAUUCCAAAUUUGUUAGAUUGCCCAAACAUGACGGAAUAUGGCCUUGGAGAUUAUUGUACUGGAGGUUUAGAACUUGAAGUCCCUUUAAAUUCGCAAUCGAGGCUGGAAUCGCCCCAUCAAAUGUAUUGUUUGAGAGAAUAAUGCCCGCGAGGAU